This 45951-nucleotide long non-coding RNA is filed under the name Prunus persica (peach). Its description in RNAcentral is "long non-coding RNA (PPER_LNC005132)". The record is from RNAcentral. Lineage: Eukaryota; Viridiplantae; Streptophyta; Magnoliopsida; Rosales; Rosaceae.
CAUAAGCUAGCGGGACUCAAGUAGCUAGAACCACUCCCAUGGCUCCCCAAAAGAUUGGUAGCGUUAUUUUCUUUGUGAUAUUGAGUUUAGGCAUUUGUUCUGCCACUAGAGCCCUCUUCACUAGUGAAGAAUUAUUAGGAGGCAGGAUUAAUGUUGCUAUAGGGGGGGUUGGUGGUGGUAGUGGACAAGGCGGUGGUGCCGGAUAUGGAACUUCUGGUGGAGGACAUGGCGGGGGUGGAGGUGGAGGUAGCGGUGGUGGCGGUGGUGCUGCUGCUGGGGGUGCUGGGUAUGGAAGUGGGGCGGGUGAAGAGGAGGUGCAGGGUAUGCUGCUGGUGNNNNNNNNNNNNNNNNNNNNNNNNNNNNNNNNNNNNNNNNNNNNNNNNNNNNNNNNNNNNNNNNNNNNNNNNNNNNNNNNNNNNNNNNNNNNNNNNNNNNNNNNNNNNNNNNNNNNNNNNNNNNNNNNNNNNNNNNNNNNNNNNNNNNNNNNNNNNNNNNNNNNNNNNNNNNNNNNNNNNNNNNNNNNNNNNNNNNNNNNNNNNNNNNNNNNNNNNNNNNNNNNNNNNNNNNNNNNNNNNNNNNNNNNNNNNNNNNNNNNNNNNNNNNNNNNNNNNNNNNNNNNNNNNNNNNNNNNNNNNNNNNNNNNNNNNNNNNNNNNNNNNNNNNNNNNNNNNNNNNNNNNNNNNNNNNNNNNNNNNNNNNNNNNNNNNNNNNNNNNNNNNNNNNNNNNNNNNNNNNNNNNNNNNNNNNNNNNNNNNNNNNNNNNNNNNNNNNNNNNNNNNNNNNNNNNNNNNNNNNNNNNNNNNNNNNNNNNNNNNNNNNNNNNNNNNNNNNNNNNNNNNNNNNNNNNNNNNNNNNNNNNNNNNNNNNNNNNNNNNNNNNNNNNNNNNNNNNNNNNNNNNNNNNNNNNNNNNNNNNNNNNNNNNNNNNNNNNNNNCUUCUUUUUACCAAUAAGUAUUAUGAAAAAUAAAUUUGACUGCGGUAAGAAGAUGGGUUAUAUUAUAAAUACAACGAAUGUAAAAAAGCCAAAGGCAAGCUAUCCGAGUCUGUAUCAAUUGAAACAGAUCGAAUGCUAUAAUUGCAUUAGUUCAUAAAUGGACAUGCAAUAUUGAUCGUCCAUAUUAAUAUGGAUAUGAAAAUUGCUUUUCUCAAUGAGAUUUUAGUCUUUGUAGAAUAACUUUAAAAAGGCUAGGAUAAGACCUCAGCAUUGCUCAAGUCCAGAAGAUUAUGUCAUUGCUUAAGUCCAGAAGAUUAUGUAUGAAAUUUUAUAACAAGAAGCAUGGAGAGCAAAUUCAUAUUACAUCAGAAAAUCUUGGGAGAAUACACACUUGCCAAACAAAAGUUGAUUAAUUUGAUAGCUUGACUCAAGUGAAAACAAAUAAAACCCAUGGCCAAGUUACUCCCCCAAGGAGUUAUUGCAUCUCUAUAUAAGCUCAUCAGCCUCUCCUCUUCUGCCAAUAUCUUUCUUUGUUUCUGCAUUCCUUCCCUUGUUGAUCAAGAUCAUGGCACGUCCUUCCGAUCUUGAUCCUCGGGGUCUUGAUGAAGAUCUUGUGCUCGUUUCUUAAGAAUUCCCUUCAAGUGGUCACAGAUCAUCAGCUGCGGAGUCGGUAGCAAAGAGGCCGGUGACUCUCCAACGGCGCUGUCACUAUCUAUCAUGGGCCGUCCCUUUAUCAUAUCAACUUCCCCCUCUUCGUUCAUCAUCACCAUGUUACAUGGAAGCUUCCCGGCGUAAAAUUUUCUAUCAUUCUUUUGAUGCCUGUACAGAGAGAUCCCAUUAAAGUACUAGCUAAAAUUUGACAAAUAGUAUAUACUGACCAAAGUUUCAUUUUGAUUAACUAUCUUAUCAGUCGUUUUGAUUCUCAUACUUUGAGAUGUAUGCCUAGCAAGGACGUAACCUAACUUGUAUUAAGAUUUUUUGUUACAAUUGGUUCUUUAUGGACGAAAAUUUGUCUAAAUAACAAAGUAGUCUUUCCGGUAAAAGUGUGUCCGAAGGAAAACCCUAGCUUUUGUUAAUCCUAACCCAUCACCUUCUAUGAAAAUCUUAACAGAAGUUAGGCUCCAUCCUUAUUGGACAUACUUCUCAAAAUCUGAAGAACUAAAUAACUGAAUAAUGUCGAAAUCUUUCACUGUAAUGCAUGGUAUACCUAUCGAAGACCACCCAUGUCGCAUGAAGGGUUGUAAUUUGCUCAACAACCAGCAGCCGUGAGGGAUAACCCAUUAUAACUUUCUUCUGGGGAAAAACCUGCAAUUAACAUUCCAUACACAUGCAGAAUGUUAGACGAGCAUAAGUAUAUAUAUAUAUAUAUAUAGAGCUCCAUCGUUAACUAUACCCCAUAUUUGUUGCAAAGGUCCACCACUUUUUGAAGCUUUAGAUAUUUGAGGUCGCUUUUCCACUCAUUUUUCUCUUUGACAAAUGACAAUUCUUCUAGUCCCACCGGCCAAACAUCCAGCCAUGUCUUGGAAGAGACUGCACAUUUACAAUCACCACCCAAGUAUUCCAUUUUAUAUACGAAGCAAAACCUUGUUUGGAUUAAAGUAAAUAGCCAGCUAUAGAAGCAUGACAUGUAAAUAAAAUCAAGGAAAAUUCUAGAGAACUUCGUCUUUUUAUGUCAUUUGUGUGUAAUUCCAUGAAAUAUUGAAUAAUCAAUUGUAAAUUAACACAUCAACACCUACACUAUGUGGUCUAAUUAAAAAUCCAAUACCCUUAAGCUUUUGGGGUGGCCGAAGUACUAGAGAGGGUGAGUAGGGAAAUGAGUUAGGAUUAGGCUAGGUCAAUGGUUCGAUUUCCUUCCACUAUAUAGCGUUAGGCGAUUUUUGUGGUGCAGGCUUGUUUUAUUACGUACUCAACUAGAAUUAAAAGCUCAAGAUUGCCAUGCAUUUAGAUCACUCAUAUGCAUAUACUAAAGAUUAAUGGAUUGAGGAUACUAGAAUCACAGUACUCACGGGGAAUAUUAAGCCAUGGCAUGACACCAAGAAGAGUGACAGUAGAGCCAGCGUUGAUUACAUUCUCAAGGGCCCAUUCAAGCGGCUCCGUCGUGAACUCUUUCAUCCCAUCCAUGACGAUGAGCACAUGUUUUGUAAUGUUCAUCGACUCUGAUGACCCGUUCGGCAUACGAUAUGUUGCCAGUGCUCUGUUGUUCCAGCUGACAACCGAUUGUCGCAUUAUUAUUUUCUUCUUCUUCCCUCCUCUUUUGAAGAAAACAACCAUAUUAUGUAAAAGUUAACAAUUUUUUUAAAACUUUACUAAGCCGGCUUAGUUCUUGUGCCAAUCUUCAACAUAGAGAGAAGAAAAAAAAAAAUUGAUCAAGUACCGAAAUCGGAAUUGUUACAAGGGCUCAACAUUUCUUAAAUAGAUCCCAACUUUGUCAUGAGGGAAAAACUAAACUCAGGGAUUGAUCAAACCGAGGAGUGUACAUAGUUAUAGUACUUUGACACAAACAAAGAUACGUUGGCAAUCUACUGUCAUGCCUAGGAGUAUAGGAUUUCACAAAUUUUGGUUUUCCCUAGAUUAAUAUAAGAUGCUCAUUCCUAAAUCUUAUCUCCAACCUCUAACCUAAUUGACUAAUUGAUGAGCCGGGGCCUAUUGUUACUAGGAAGUUGUAGGCUCACCAACAAUUAUUAUAGUGAUCAUGUCAAAGUCUUUGUCCUGUUCUUUUUCAUGUUUCGAGCAUACGCAUGUGUCUUCUCCUUUGUGGAUUUUAUGUUGGAUACCGAUGACAACUUUCAUUGGUUGGCCAAAGCACCAAUAGUUUUCUUUUCUUAUCCAAAUUGCAACAUUACUCCAAGAGAAGUAACGUCAAGCCCAGUUAUCUAGUUUUUUUCUUCUUCUUGUUUUGCAUACUCAACCUAAGCAUUUUGUAUUAGUAAUAAUGCUACAAAGCACUAUAUUUUGUUUUAGAAAUUGCACCCGAAUUAACGAGUGCAGAUGACAACUUUUUUGGUGUGUUAAUAACAGCUCCCUAGUUUAAAGGGUUAGUAUUAAGGCUUUAUGGGUGAAACAAGAAAUCAAUAUAAUCGAUGCUAAGAAGCUAGAACUGGUGUGUAUGAUUGGCAUGAAAAUGGGUAUGUAACACAAGCAGAUUCAUUUCACAUGCUGGUGGUAUAUGACUACAAAAGUGUUUUCUGCUUCUUUUAUUAGAAAACUUGAGCACAUAUCGAGAGUUGUUUUUGACCUUCUUUAAACAACAAUAAUAAGAGUGCUAGUAUAAUACUGCAAUAGCAAAAUUAGUUACGUUUACAUUCUCUAAGACCAAACCUUUGUGUGUAAGCAUUAAAGUGGUUUGGAGUCCAAUAAUGGUGAGUGUCGAGUUCACAUGCCGUUCAAGAAUGAACAAGUUACCUUAUGGAAAAUCAUUCCCUCCUUCCCUCCUUCCCUCCUUCCCUUGUAAGUAGAAACUCCUACAUUCCUACCAAUAACAAUAUGAUAUGUGUAGAAGUUUUUCUUUUUGUGUUUGUAGACAUAGAAAUUUUAGUGAAUUAAAAAUUCACUAAUUUACUUUCAAUAGUCAAAAUUCAAAAUUUGGCUAGUCAAAGAUAACUAGAAAAUAUGUGGAUCCCACACAAAUACACGUGGCACAUGACUCACGCAGACAAAGGUGUGCACCGGAGAUGACACAUGUUAGCAUCUAAGAGCUUCAUCAAUCCAAUGAAAUCAUAUGCCAAAAAGGAAUAAAUUAUCCUUAUUUGGUCAUCUUCCUAAAUCACGAGUUAAUUUCCCUAAAUGAAAGAUUUUGACGUAAUUAACAUCUAAAGUAAAUCAAUUAGCUCAAAUUAAAUCAAAUUAGAAAUCAAUCCCACAAAUCAAGGGAUUCAGAUUGGGGAUUCCAAACCAAGACCCAAUUCUUUUCCUAUAAAUACUAGGCUCAUAUUCGCGAGAAAGGACCUUCACCUCACUUUGUUUCAUUUUGGCUCAAUUUGGGAGUUUUUGUUUGAUUUGGGUUUAAUCGAGCCCAGUCAACCGGCCCACUCUGAUACCAUGUUAAAACUUCAGAGGGACGAACUUUUGGCCCAUCACUAACAAUAUUGAUAUUGUCCCCAACUUAACCACCUGUUUAGCAGGUGUAUGGUUUGUACAAAAAUUCUCAAUGUUAUUAGAAGUGAAACCAUUUAUUAUAUGGAACUUUCUAUUUUGUUAAGUUUCCGAUGCGGGACUCGUGUUCUUGUCUCAUUUGUCGCAAGAUUUUCGUUUUUACAGUGUUCUUGAUGAAUUAUUUUUGCACAUGUGUCAAACUGUGAUUUGCAAGCCCGAUGUCAAAGUUUCAAUGGCUAUCCAAGUCAUGAUUGCCUUUAGGAAAGGUAAGUGGUUAGUUCCAUACAUGUUACUUAUGUCAUCCCUCUUAUUCUUUGAGAUUUCUUGUGAGAUUUCUAUGCGUUUGAAUCUGUAUCUCCUCCAUACACUUAGGGUUCCGUUUGAAUAUAUUCAAUUCUCCAAACCUCCAAUCAUAUUCACAUUGUGACUUGGAAACAAGUGGUUGGUGAACUUCUGCCUCAAGGCUAUUGAUAAACAUGGCUUAGUUUCGUGCCGCCAUUGAGAAGAUGAGGGGAUCAAGUCUGCAGGUGGAUAAGUAGCAAGAGUGUGGACUAGGUCCUGCAAUAUUUUGAUUGAUUGAUUUCUAGUUUUUUGAAACCCAAUAUGAAACUUGUGAUUAGUUGGUAAAUUGAUGAAAUUAGAGGUCAAUAUAAUUGUUUAUUUGAUAGAUAGUAGAUAGCUUUUGGCCCCUUUUAAGGAAAUCCUCUCACUGAAUAAAACAAAAGAAAAUUGGAUUGCUAGCUUUCUAUUCAUGUGACCCAAGAAUUUCGCUAUUUUGAUUUUGCUAGUGCUUGGUAUGGCAUGGCAACAGAUAAUUCAGAAUCUAAAUAGGUCCAGUCCAGGGGCAAAUCAAUAGGAAAUGCUAUUUGCUUUGUAAGAAUAAGAAUAAACUUCAAUGAAAUGAAAGAGUUUCGUAGGGAUUGUCUUAAUCAUCAGAUAUCAUUGAGAAAUAACAAGUGUUAUCGAACGAUUUCUUACAAUUCUUCCCAGUAUGGAACCGAUAACAGAAAAUGUUGCAAGGUCACUCGUGCAAGCAAAACCAUAUAUACUCCAAAAGAGGUUGUCGCAAUUGAAACAGUAAUUCAUUCCACAAGUAAGCAGAAAAAUUUUUGGCAAAAGAAAUAAAAAGAUGCCAGAUAAAAUAUAUGAACAAACUCCUCUUCUAUUUUUCUGUUCAAAUGAAAUAUUUGAACAAGCUCAUCUUUUACAUUUGCGGCUGAGCUAGAGAAAGCUUUAGCAAGCAGAAACCUGGAACAGCUCACCGUAAUGCCGCCGCCACAGGACGCAUAGAUUUAUGACUACCACCAGGAGGGCUGACCUUUUUGCAUGGUGAUGAUCCCACUCUCUUCCUUCUCUUGUUCGAAGAACCUUCACUUUGAGGCCCGACCAUGGCAGCAAGAAGUUGGCUUCCCCUGUCCCUUGUCAAACUCUUUUUUGAAAGAUAUCUGAAAGCUUCAAUUCUCUUUGAAUCAUCUACAUCAUUGUUGGAAGGUCUUUUACAGAGCGCAUUGUCUGCUGACUUCAAAUGAUCACUUCGAAUAAUAUUGUUCAAUGAUCUUUUGCAGGCCACAUUGUCCACUGACUUGGAAUGAUCGCGCGGAAGACAAUAUAUUGGCUCUGAAAAAUUCAAUUCGACCUCAUUAAGUUAGUUGCAUUCAUAAAUUUCAAGGGAAAGGUAAUAAAAUCUUUUGAUCAGAGUGUAUUUGCUUACCUGGAGACUCAAAAGAAGGCAGAUCAGGACUAGGAGAUCUGGGUGGUGUCAUAGGAUGGAGAUAAACUUUAGGAGACCUUUUAUGGCACCUAUUUCCACCAAGAGACGAUGUACUACAUAUAUUCUCAUUGUUGUGUGAUUUUCCAUCAAAGGAGUUACUUGCCCUCCCUGGAGUUGAAGCAUCAAUCACAGCAGCACUAUCUUUAGUCUCCUUGGAACAACCAUCGGCUGCAUCUCUAGUGUCAAUGACCUCAACCUCUUCACAUCUUGCUCGAGGCAACGAAAGAGUAAUUCUCUCAUGAGCAUCUCCGGGUUCAUUGGCAACACAACAAUCAACAUUGUUUACACUAGGAGAUAAAAUACUGACACUCUCGACAUUCUCUAGGACUGACUUAGGUGAUGUAUUCGUCAUAGCUGGAUCCAAGCAUGGCUUUAGUGAUUCCACUAUGCUAGAAAACCAAGGAGUACCCUGCCUUGCAUAGAACAGAAUGUAGGCCUCCUGUGACAGAACAAAUUCUUCUUGAACCCUAGUGACCUACAAAAAUAACAGUGGAACUUUUAGUGUAAAUCUUAAUACUACUAUAUUUGAGGGUAAAACCUGAUGGAAACAAUCCAAUUACCAUAGAUCAUCAUUACCGUUUAUUGCAUGUAAACAUACAACAAGAACAAAGAUCAUAUCAUAAAGAUCGUUUAUACAAAAACAAAUGAAAGAAGCCAUGAAUGGCAAGACAAUCACUUCCACACACCAGCUUCACAAGAAUUACAAAGUCAUGCAGAUAAAACAGUUACAAUGAAUUGUUUAUUACGGAAUGCAUAAAGAAAAUAAUUACCUUUGAGUCAUCCAACCUAUGCCAUGUAUCUGGAGAUGACCGAAUGAAGCAAAAGUAAUGUCCAGAAGUAGAUGAGAACCCAACAUGCUCCACAAUUGCAUAAAGUUCAUACUUCAAUUCCACCUAUUGCCAAGAAACAGGAAAUUAGAACUAGAGAGACCACACCAUUCUUUUUCUUGAUUAAAAUUGGAGGGAAUCGAAUCUUGGAUCUACCCUAAUCCUAACCCAUUACCCCACCAUUUACAGAUAACCCCCAAGGGCUUGAGAAACAACAGCCAUUUAAACAUAGCUAAAACACAAACAUGACAUUCAGCUAACCUUCAUUUUUAGAUCAUUUAACCAUUAUCAUGUGUUAAAAAAACCUUGCAUUUCUUAUAAGUUAUAACUGAUACCAAUUUGAUUAUGAAGAAACUAAAGGCAGCAAUCACAUUACUGUUGGUCCCACUGGUUGACUAAUAGUCCAAAUCCGAAGGAAAAUCAACAUAUUCUGUGUAAAAAAUAAUUAUAAUAAUAAUAAGCAGCAACUCACAUUAUUGUCACUGCCACUGGUGUAGGGCUUCAAGUCCAACUCCAAAGGAAAUUCUACAUGUUUUUCAAUCUUCUCAACAUGAGAUCCAUCAGUCUUAAAUCUCUUCAGAUGAAAUGCAGCAACUGGAGGGGCCUGGUCCACCACAAGCUGCUUCUCCACUGAUACUUCUUCCUUGCAGUUCUCACAUGUAAACUUUGUCUCCAAGUCAUUGAUAGUUUCUAUCUUAGUGAAGGACUCCAGGGCCCUUUGGAGAGUCUCUGCAUCUUCAAUCUCCAAACUCAGAUCAAUCAGAGGUUCGUAAGUGUCAGAACAGUGACCACAAUUGCAACAUCGAAGCUGAAAGUAAUUCAUACACACAAAAAUCAAUAAGAAUUAUAAUAAAAUAUUGAUUUUCCAUCAAAUUUAACCAUAGCAGAAUGAAUCAUGGCAAUCAGAUAUGGAGUCAUACUUUGCUUAGGAGACGACCACCAAAAACCCUUUCCACAAGAUUAUGGUCUUGGGCAGAUGGACUCUCCUUUUCCAACGAAUCCAAACAAGAUUUCUCAAGUUUGUCUAAGAAGCAUUGCAAGAACUCAUGGGCAUCUUCUUGCUGGUAUCUUUGGAAGAAAGAUGAGAAAUCUAGUAGCAUGAGGGUUAAGAAUCACAUUCGGAUGUAAACUUCUCAGGGUAAAACUACAGAAUUUUCAAAGCUUCAGGUAGAAUUACAUAUUUCACAACAAAAAUUAGUGCAACUGCUCAAUCAAAAUCAAUCACUUGUAGGGGCUUCAUAAGUUACUCUCUUUUUUUCAUUCAAAACAAAGAAAAGAACAAUCACAAUCACAAUUUUAUGCCCAGAAAUCUCAACACGUAUGAUCAAAAGGAUACGAUUCAAAUUGUCGACAAGUUUCCAUGGUGAAAUAACUCUUCCUGAAGAGGCUACUGAAAGAUCAACAUGGUCGUGAAGAGCACAAAGAACACAGAAUCCUUCACUACCACCUACACAAUCCCAAUUUCAGAUUUUAAAUUAGUACAUUUAUUAAGAAAUCAGCAAAACUAACUAGCUGCAUAAAGCUUCCAACAAUUAAGAAAAAUAUCAGAUAAGAACAUAAAGCAAACGCAAUAGAAACCAAGGCCUUACGAUCACAGGGCAUGGAAUGACUGCAAGAAUGAAGACCCUCCACGAGUGGCACAGUGUGCGUGAAGCAUUGCAGAAUUGCAUUCAUAAAGCAUGUGUUGCCUAGAUUUGCAAGCCCUGCACCCUGCAACACCAAAACGACAACAAAACUUAACAUCCCAAAAUUACUUAGACUAAAAUUAAACGCAAAAUGAAUAAUAAUUAUAAUUUUUAAUGUAAAAUAAAUGCAAAGUUUCAAACAGGUUCAAAGCAAAGGGGCAUACCACCAUAGAGGGCUUUGUUUCACAUAUUGAAAACUGGGAAUCCGAGGAAAUCACUGAUUCCUUGGUAGAAUUCGACGACCACCGAGAAGACCAAGAAGGUGCGGAAGACGACCACCGCGAUAGUCCUGAAGACUCCGAAUGUGGAUCCGAUUCAUAAUUUGAUAAAUCGUUACCAACAAUUUUGAGAGGCGAAGGCGGUGAUGGUUCAUCUUCUUGGCCUUCUUCAACAGAUGGUGAAGACCCAGUUGGGUUUGGCAAAGAAGAAUCCGAAGCCAUAUCGUCUAGGGCUUUGAGAGGUGAAGAUGGCGAAGACCCAUUUGCAUUUUCUGCGAUAGAAACCAAAGCAUGGUCAUCUACGGCUUCCUUUUGUGAAAAUGGCGAAGACCCAUCUAGGGUUUCUGCAAGAGCAGGCAUUAAAGCUGGAGAGGUUGAAUUUCCCACUUGGGUCUUCGUGAGAAGUGAGUCUGGAGGCAAAAGGUUGGCUUCUGAGAGAUGAAUUUUCCACUGAAGCUCUUGAGAUUCUAGAAAUGGGCUUUUCAACGAACUGAAAAUUGAAUCUGAAAUUGGAAUUUGGGGUUGGCUCCACGAAUUAGGAGGGAAAUGGGGAUUUGGGUUUUGAGAAUUUUGCUUUUAAAAUAUUUUUGGGGGUUUCGGGAAGUUGAAGCUGUCGGUUGAAAGGAGGGAAAGGCGAAAAAAAGUGUUUCGAAAAUUUUUGGGUUUUGGAAAAGGAGGGAAAACUCCAAAGUCUCCUCCAAUUUGGUACCAAAGUUCAGAAAAGAGAGGGAAGAGAGAGACGGGAAAGAUGUCGUUUUUCUUUAUUUUCAGAAGUUUCAUGUGUUUUUUUUUUCUUGGUUGAAAAAAGAAGUUGCAUGUUAUGUUAGUGUAGUGAAAUAUGGGUGAGGAAAAUUACAAUUAAUUGGUAACAAAGGGGCUCAUUUGUAGGAUUUCGUAAGUUUUGAUAUCCGUUUGUAGGGUCUUACAAGUUCAUGUAUGAAUUUGAAAUGAUACCCAAAAUUUGGUGUUUUAUGUAAUUGAUCUUAGAAUAUAUUAGGAAAUAAAGAUAUUUAUUAAAUGAGAGUAAUAUAGUAAAUUAAUAGUUUUUAAUAUUAAAAAGAUAUAUAAAAUAAAAUAAAAAAGGAGAACAUGGGUCCUAUUUUCAUGGACACAAAUAGACCCAUUUUCUCUUUUUUAAUUUUAAAUUAAAACAAUAAGAAUAAAUAAUAAAUAAACGCAAUUGGCACUCUUGAGCAUGUGCUCAAGAGCUAGUAUGUGUAUUAUUUUUUAUUAUUUUUAGAAUAGCUAGAAUGUGUAUUAAACAUGGCGAUUUUAAAAUAUAUAUAUAUAUAUGUCGCCAUAUUUUUUUGAAGUGCAUGGAAAAAUGAAGUAUUUUUUUAGCAAUACAUACAUCUAUCUAUCUAUCUAUCUAUAUAUAUAAAGCAAAAGGCAGAGAAUGGUGAAACAUUCAAAAUACCAAAAAAUGCCCUUGGUUAAUGCAAACAUUAAGAAUUGAAAUUAUUAAUUAAAUGAGGAUAAUAUGGUAAAUUCACAAUUUUUUGUAUUAAAAAAUUAAAAUUAAAAGAAAAUUCAGAUAAUGGGUCCUAUUUUUAUGGAACACAAAUAUCCAUUAUUUUUUUUAAUUCUAAAAUAAAUUAAAAUUUUUAUAAAAAAAAACCUCUCGCAUGCGCGGAAGCGCGUGCAAAGAAGCUAGUACGUUUAUAAUACAUGAAUUCACUAAAUACCUUUUCCGAAAGAUGGAAAAAAUCUCUAGGCAUGUUUGGGAAUGUUUCUACAGAAAAUGUUAUAGUCAUAACCACUUUUAUUUUCUUUUCUUUUUUUUUGGUUUGGCACUUUUACUAUAAGCAUAUCCUUUAUUAAAAUAAAAAAUCUAAGCUCUUCUUUUUUUAAUUUUUUGGUCCGAAAAAAUCCAAGCUCUUCUAUAACUUACUUGAAGUUUACAUUCCCGAAGAUGAAAAUGCAGAAAUUUGUUGUGACCCCCAUUGUGGAUUGACAAUCACAUAUGCAUCUCUAAAAAUUAUUGCAAAAGCUGGCCUAAGGAAUUUUGAGAAUCAAUGUUAAUUGACUAUAUCUAUCAAAUUGUAUUGGAUUGAAUGAUUUUAACAACAUGAAAAUGAACAAGUGAUCAAAAUCUCAAGGACAAAUCAAAGUUUUAACAGAAUACAGUAUCCUUUGCCUUGCUCUCUUGACACAAAGCAGUAAUGUUAUGGUGGUUUACAGAAACAAGAACGCAUAUGAUCAAAUCUCAGAACAGUACCUGUGCUACAAAAUAAAACACCAGCCACUCUUCUUAAGCCUGGAGAAUUUUGAUAAGUCUUAUUUGUCUUUAAAAAAAAUUUAUGAACUCUUCUUUACAAUCACUACAUAUGAUAAUGGCUGGUGUACUUUAACAAAUAAAGACAACGCAUAUCAACAUUAGAGGAUUCUGUCCUGAAGAUCCGUCAUUAAAUUGGAUGCCAAGGAGCUAAGCUUCUUCCCGGUCUCUCCAGCAAUGUUUUUUAGGGAAGAGAUAUCCUGUUGUGCCUGGAAAGGAGAAUACACAAAGAUUAAACCGAAAUUAGUUAAACAAAAGGCUGGAAACUCAAAAAGGAAAAGAAGACUAAUUUCUGAUCAGACAUGGCCAAAAUAUGAUAAACAUAUGACAAAAAAAUUGAAUUCCAAUGACUCAAAAACAACUGGAAAUUUCUUAUAUGCAAGGCAUACCUGAAAAGACAGUCGGUUGAUAAGGUCACUUGCCGUAAGAUCAAGGGGCAAAUUAUCAUCCCUGUCGCCAAAUAGAUCAGCACUUGAGAUGGCAGCGGAACCCUGGAAGUAGCAAGAAAUUUGUGUUAGUUUUUUUUUUUUUUUUUUUUUUUUUUGGUGUGGGGUCAAAGUUUCACAUUUGAGUCUAAUAACUUCAAGCACCCACCACGCUUCAGCUGAGAUAGUUUAAUGAAAGUGAAAGAAAAAAAACGAAGCAGCUGAGAUAGUUUAAUGACAGUCGAAGAAAAAAAACGAAGCAGCAUUCGUGUUCCCAAGUUAUCAUGGUAAUGUCCGGAAUCAGAAAACUACAAACACAAUUGUAUGAACUGAUUUGUAUGCCAAAGAUGUGUUGAUGUUGCAAAAGACAAUUAUCUUUGAUUUUAAUUAUUUCCUCGGCAUAUACUCCGACAAAUAUGAGGUCUAGCUGAAUGAAAGCUACAGGGCAGGACUUCAAUAAAUAAAAAAUACUAAAGACAAAAGGGAAUUCAAAUUCAAAAGAAAUUCCCAGUUGAACUGGGUUUAGUUGAUUAUGAUAGUAAUGAUACAUACCGAGAACUUCUGCAAGGAGGCUUGAGCAUCAACAUCAGCAGAUUUGUUCUGAUCACCAAAAAAUUGUGCGGAAGAGAUAGAUUUUGCAUUUGUGAAUUUCUUCCUUGCUUCAUCAGUUUCCUGAAUCUGAAAAACAAUAAAACAUCAAUAUAAAGAAACACACACAAAAUAACAUGAACAGAAAUGCAAACUGGUUAUCAGUGUGCUGAACCAUGACAUAAAGCAACUCUGUUAUAUGUCACAAGUUGGUGUCUCCAUCAGCCAAUAUGCAAGUGCAAAAAGACAAUUGCAAAAAUAACCAAAAGAGCAAACACUAUAAGACAGAUUUUUUAGAUUGAGGAAACCACCAGCAGCAUACGUCUUCCGAAAACGGGCUAAACAUUCCCACAGUAUCCAUCAGGACUGGAUAUCAUGCAUGAGAAGGAUAGUACAUUCCCAUUGUCAUAAUGAUUCUUUAAAUAACGCUACCAUUUGAUAAAAUAAGGCCCCACUAUUUGAUAAAACAAGGCCUUACCAUUUGAGGCAUAUGGUCAUUGCCACUUAAAAACAACAUAAAAUUGGAAUGGAGCAAACGAAAGUACUCCUCGCCAAGCAUACAUGAACCAUUUAAAGGAUAAUGUAACUCACUCAACAAUCUCAUGUUCUUUUGUUUAUUUUUUAAGACAAUAAUCUGCCUAUUAGAUUACGAUUAUAAAAACUUCAAAUUGUAGUGACUGCCUGAAAAGGAAUGUUUUUACUCCAGAACUUAGAUAACCAAAUACAUGUAAUACGUUAGGAUGCUUUCUCACCCAUGGGGGAAAAUUUGCCUACUCGUUUACUUCUGAGUAGAAUUUCUGGACCUUACAGAUUUUAGGAAUAUGAAAACUGUUACACAAUACAAAAACUCCAUUUGGUUGCUUCCCAUAUUACUAAUAUCAAGCAAACGGACUUGAGCCUCUUUAGGAUAAACAUAAAGCAUUUCAAUUAAUUAGUGGUGACCUUAAAAACAAUGAAUGGCCGGAAAAUAAAGAAAAAGAACAAACACUCAGAAACUACAAAUGUGUAAAUUACUCCUUUUAAUGAACAUACAGGAAGCAAAAACAUCACUUCAAUUAAUUAGUGGUGACCUUAAAAGUUGAAUUUCACUGAACAAUGUUGAAUUAAAUGCUGGAGUAAUAACUAUCCAGACAGUUCAGGGGCAAGUUUGAAAAGUUCAGAGGCAAGUAUUAACAAAUUUCUUUAAAAAAUAUUUUCUAUGAUAUACGAGCAGAUUUGUUAUAGACACAGCCCCAAUUUCACAAAGUUUUGGUAAAUGAUUCCUUCCUCAUCCAUAUCAACCUGCAGUAUAACUACAGAGAAGAACGAUAUAUUCAUCCUCAUCUAGGAAUUGAGGUGUUCUGAGUUUGAUUAGAAACUUAAAAAUGCAUUACCCUUGUGACAUCAAUGGAGGCUUUUGCAAAUACAAUUAAAACAUUAAUAGUAAAAUAAAACUAAACAGUAAAACUAUGAAAAACAAACAAGUAGACAGUUUUCACCCCACCAUUAUUUAAACUGUAGCAGCUUUUUAUUUCCUUCUAAACUCAGUUUUGUACUUUACUAUGUUCCCCUCUUUAGAUAAAUUUGUUUGUUUGAACCGUUUCUUAUAGCAAAAGGGAUUUCAGGGUCUUCAAAACUUAAACAAAAACCUGAAGCUUGUCCCUUUUAUGAUACAAUAGAUUUCAUGUCUGACCAUUGUUUCUCAUCAUAGUAAUACAGUGUCUAUUUUCUUCUUUCUUCUUUCUUCCUUGACCAGAUGAUAGGAAAAGCUUAGCCUUUUUGGUUCUCUUAAAUUUGUCACCCUAACACUUCUAAAUCAUGUCAAGCCUUAAAUCCUGGUGUGAAAAGUGCAAUAUAGAUUAGGGAAUUGGAGCCUUAAUUUUUUUCACAUUGUAGCAGGUCCUAAAUUAACGAUUUAUUUCUAAAGAACUAAUAUUUAUUAGUGGGCAAGUAACAAGAAACAUAAAAAACAAAUUAGUUCCCUUGGGAAAACUACUUAUAUGUGAAUGUCAUUGGUCGAAUAUAACUUACUUGAACUUUGGAGGAAUUUGAACUAGUUCUCUUGGGAAAAUUACUGUCCAUUCCAAAAUCCGCAAAGAAAUUUGACGACUUUGGUGGAGCAAUAUGACUAAUUACAUGAGCGCCAUUGGGAUUCGUCUCAGGAUUUUGGAUAAUUUCUACAUACUCAAAACGAGACACAAAGGACGAGCCAGCUGUUGUUGGAGUGCUGUUAGUUGAGGAAGGCACUGGUAUAACAGGUUCUUCAGGUUUCUGAUCGUACAGGCUUUCACUUGACUGCAUUUGAUAAAAGUUAUCUCGCUAAGAAAAAGGCAUUUUCCCUAAAAAUAUAAUAAAAUAGGAAACAGAACUCAAAGAUACCAUUGCUGAUAAAUAAUUUAUUCUAAGCGAUAAUAAGAAAUCACAACCUUUGUAGUAAGUUUGCGAGCACCAAGCCCCCCAGUCUUCCCAGUUUUCUUAGCACCAAGAGGCUUCUUGACAGUACUGGUAACAAAUGUAUGGGGGGCUUUCGGGGGAGCAGAGACUUCAGGGGUUUCUUUCCUUGCUAAAGAUGUUUCUUUUGGAGCUUCACUGGUCUUGACAUCAGGAAGCCCGUUAGAUGCUUGUCCUGACUGAGAUGCAACAGGUGAUGACGGAAGACCUGCCUCUUCUGCCAUACUUUUGGCAACUUCUUUAGAAAGCAUCUGCCUGUAUAAAUCGGCAGCUCUUGAUGUAUAUUUUGCCUCAAUUUUGCCUCCAUCCGUCCAUCCAUGCUGCUUAAAGAAAACCUGUGCGCGGUUGUUUCCACCGAAGCUCAUCGUUUUAAGCUGUUCAGGAGUCCAUGAGUCUAAAUUUGUGGAUCUGCACAAAUUAAACAAAUCAAUUAUAAGAUUGUCAUUGUCGCGAUUUUGCUUUUGCAGUUAUUUCUAAAGAUUAAACCCAAAUGUGAAUUUCAAAUAGGAUGCAUUAUUAAAUCUAAAUGAUCUGACAAUCAUAUUCAACUCAACCUUUGAAAAAUACACAUGAUUUUACUUGUACAAUCCAUUAAAAAACAAAUUAUUUAUCAAGAAAGUAUCUUUUAUGUAAACUUAGAAUCAUUACAUGGAGAAUAAAUCUAGGUCCAAUUUCAUUACAUGGAGAAGUGAAAUCUGAAUUCAAACUAUCAUAUCCACCCCUGAUGCUAAAAUAAUCUCAACAAUCGAAGGUGGGGAAAGAUGACGGGGGAUGGAGGGGAGGGCCAAGGGGUGUGGAGACAGGAAGAUUCUGAGUGAGCGGGGGAUUGGGGUAGGGAGGGGGGAGAGUGGAUUGUUUGGGAAGACCACAUUGAGGAGGGGAAAUGGUUGGUAGGCAAGAUCGGGCAGGAGGGGGGUGGGGGAAGGUCGUCAUCUGGAGGAAAGGGAUGUGCUCUGAGAACAUCCUUGGAAAGGGCUCGUCUAGGAAGAUCGGGGAAGGACGAGGGGAAAGUAACAGGAAAGCUUUUCCAUUAAGUGGAAAGUAACAACGAAUAAACGCAUAAGUCAUUAUGGAAAGAACUGCUAAUAAUUUUGAAUCACAUAAAACUAAUGGCUUCAUUGCAGUCGUAUGGGUGCGUGUGUGUGCAACUUCUUAUCUACCUUUGAAGUCUUCCUAAGAAUGCAUGCAACAGUUCCCUUGUUUGCCUUAUAGUUUCAGUUGUACUUCAGAUAUUAAGUUUGGGUCAAAUUGUAGGACUUAUACUCCAUCUAGCUCAAACAGAUACAAAGAACCACAAGAGGUGCUUUCCACAAAUCUCCUUUCUAUUAAAAGAACAAAACAGAUCACGGUUCCUAAAAUAAAGCAUAACCUUUCGCACUUCUGGCCCAAGUUUCUUGCUGCACCCUCCAUCCAAUCCCAUCAAACGUCUAUCUAAUUACCAAAUUCCUAAGAUUUAAUUAAUGAUACAAACUAUGACUCCGAUCCCCAACAUGUAACGUGAUUUCAGUUCCCUCUUAUUUAAAAACAUAACUUUGAGUUCUCGUAACAUAAAUUAGAUUACAUCACAAAAUGCACCAAUAGUUAAAGCAAUAAACAUUCAAUCAUAUGUACUCAAAACAGCUACUCCAACACCCAAAAUAUAACAAAAUACGGAUUGAGAGAAUUAAGGAUCCUUACUGCCACAUGAAACAUACCUAACAAAGCUGAUGUGAACGCCGAGACUGCGGUGAGCGGCCGAGCAAUCGAUGCAGAGAAAGAUCCCAUAUGUAACCGAGGCCCAAGUUGGGUUCUUUGCAUUGCAAUCGAAACACAUCUGGAGCAAAAACCCACAAAACGAAAAUCAAAACUCAAGAUCCAAGCACAGAACACAGAUCUGAAUCAGAUCUAACAGACCCAUAUCGAAUUUUGCAUCAAAAUCAAAAACCCAUAUAAAAGUUUUAAGAAUAACCCAAACAAAAAAGGCAAAAUGAUAUUAAAAAAACAAAAGAACCUUGUUUUCUGACUUUGCUUUCAGUUUUCUGAAAACAGCGUUCUUGUCAUUGAAGAUUUCGGACGCCAUUGGAGAGACAAAUCCUAGAGAAAUUAGCGAGAACAAAUGAAUCCGAAGAGGUGCUUGAACACCUCCUCAGGCAAAAGAGAGAGGUAGAGAUGUGUGGAAAUGAAACCCCAAAUUGAUUUCAGGUUCUGUUUUUUGGUUUUGGUUUUUCGUUUUGUGAAAUUUUAAACGGAACCAUUUUAUUAGCAGUGGGUAUGAUACAAUGUUGUUCAAAUGACGAAACUACCCUUGAGGUUUUAAGGGUAGUUUCGUUGUUGUCCAGUAGUGUAAUUAUUUAUCUGAAUGAAGGGCAAACGUAAUUUGUCAUGUUACGUCCAUGCCUUUUUGGUGGCAACUGGCGGUUUACCAACCGUUAACGGCUGGGCUUAUAUAGAUUGGUCAAUCUGAACCACCCAGUUCCACAUUUCUUCAACCUUGAACUUUUUAUUUUUUUAAUCAUGCUUAAUUUAGUUCAAUCUUUCUAAUUUUAAAAGCCAGAAAAAGAAAAGAGAGAAAAAUCUAUCUUUUAUCUGUUUAUACUGUUUUAUCAAAUACAUAAUCGACAAUCCAUCAGAAAAUAAAAGAGAAACCUUAAUUAUCAGGAAUGGGUGUUGGAAUGAUUAUGAUUUCUUCUUCUCCUGUGUUUACUAAUUAUGAUUUCUUCUUCUCCUGUGUUUACUAACACAUAGGUAUUGGAAUGAUUAUAAUCAUGACUUCCCAUGUGUUUAUGUUACAUAAAGAACUAAAAUUUAUGUGGAUUCCAUGCCAAAAUUUGCAAUCGAAUACCGUCAAAUUAGGAAUAGGAUCAACUAGGAGUGGUUGAUUUGAUUUUUUUUUUUUUUUUUUUUGGUAUGAGUUGAUUUGAUUCUCAUUCCUUGAUUCUGCUAUAUAAGUUCCUAGUGUCAUGACUUCUCUCAUUCCUUAUAAAUAAAUUGGAAAAUAUGAAUAAUAACCUUAAAAGCAUAGUGAAAUUUUGUUAACACCCCUUUAAGCAUAAUAAACCUUAAAAUAUCAAUAUGUUGGAACCAACCCUUUAAUUUUUCCCCUCAAUAUUCCACUUUCACCCCUCAUAAAUAAAAAAUAUUAGAAAAUAAAUAGCUAGCAACCCUCACCGUUUCAAUCCCUACGUAAGCUAUUGACAACCCCUCCACACGGACGGCAUCUAUUCCCUCUUCACACUUCCCAACUAGCAAUAUGAAGGGCAUGUUUACGUAUCAGUAAUAAAGAAAGUAAGGAAUCGGAGAAUUUAGGAAUCGGAAAACUAUUGAAUCAGUAUGGGAAGAAUCAUUCUCAUUAAGCUAUUUACUAAAUAUAUGGAAUUAGUAAAGGAAUAGGGUUGAUUCUCAUUGUUAUUGUUUACUAACUUUAAUGAAUCAGAAUCCAAAUUAAUUUGAUUACUAAAAUGCCCAGCACAUUUUCACCACAACACAUAUAUAAUUCUCAAAUUGGUUAAGGAGACCAAACUAAUCUUGCAGCAAACCAGUGAGGCGGUGUAAACAUGAGGAAUCAAUAUGCUAAACAAGAUAAACAACAGGAGCCCAGUUCAAUGAUAAAGUUAAUAACACCUUUGUCCAGAGCCAAUUUCAAACGAAAAAAUAAACUCCAAUAAAUAUAUAUCUUUCACCUACGUAACUAGUAAACAAUCAAAUAAUAAUACCUGCAUAAUCUUCAUACGAUUAAAUAUAUGGAACUUCUUGGAACUGAGUUUUUAUUUUUUUUAGGGUAGAGCGUCUUGGAACUUUUUGGCGUGAGUUUUUUUUAUUUUUUAUUUUUUAGGGUUUGGGGUGUUUUGGAAUUAUGGUAAGGUUGUAAGGGUAUUUUUGAAAGUUAUUAAGAGAAAACAGGAAUGGGAAUCAAAUCAACUACUCCCCUUAGUUGAUCUAAUACCUUGUUUUGAGAAGAUAUGAUUACGGAUUUUGAGGUGGGGUCCACUUAUUUUUUCAUUCCUGAUUGCAAGUAAACGUAGGGGAAGUUAGGAAUGGAAAUCAUUCUCUUUCCUCCCAUACCCAUUACUGAUAUGUAAACAUGCCCUAAGAGUGAGUUUUUGAUUUAAUACUUUGUACUAGAGAUGGAAAAAAUGUACAUAAUUCUUUUUUCUUUAUAUUGAGCGUGUGUUUAGUUAGGCGUGGGCGGAACUUGGGGUGUGUAAUGUGAGCAAUUGCACAGAGGUCUAAUUUUAGAAGGGCCCCAAAUUAUAAUAUUGUUCAACAUAUAUAUAUAUAUAUUAUAUCAUAUAUUUGCUUUUAGUUAAUAUAUUCACAUCCAAAUAAAAACGUAUACUCGCUAUAUCAAUUCAUUUAUCUUAUAUUCCCAUAUAAUAUGUAACGACUCAUUCUAAUUUUUUUAUUGAUUUACUUAAAUCCCUAUUCAACCCUUAGGGACGAAACGUGACUAAGUAGGGCCUCGGUUAACCCUUCACCCAACCCUCCCCAUUUUACAAGCUUUCAAAUGUCAUGGUUUCGCUUUUUCAAUCUCAUAUUGUUGCUAUAUGAUGUACUGUGAACAAAUAAAGGGUGUAUUUUAGUUUAGUACUACGAAUAGUACACGUAUUUUGAGUUUUAAUAAUUUGGUACCUUAACAUUUUCAAAUUUUGCUUCAAUUCAACUUGUUAUACUCAAAAUGUCAAUAAGGCACACCCUCAAAAGCCCAAAGCAGACUAGGCCUAGCUCACUUAGGAAGUGACUGGCCCUCUCCAAAAACCCUAAAUCGGCUUCCCCUAAGAUUGCCUAGGCUCGAUUGAGACAAGGCAAGGUCACCCAAGCCCAUGCAACGACCAGGCACUAAGGCCUCACGCACCAAUCCUGAAGGGAAUAUGGUGGGAAUGGUGUUGUGUAGAAAUUUCUAAAAACUCUACAACCAAACUUUGAGAGUAUAAAUCACCUAGCAAGCCAUAUCUAAUAUGAAAUCAAAGUAAGAGCAGAAGCAUUAAAUAAACUAGGGAUUCAUGCAAGUCUCAUUUGGUCCCAAUCUUUAUAAGUAUAUGAAAGUGUGCACGAAAGACUCUCUAAAUCCUAUUUGAAAGAAAGAAAAGAUGUUCAUACCCUUGGAGUGAAUCUUGAAACCAAGAAUGGUGUUCAAUUAGAAGGAGUGAUCCCUUUAUUGUUGGCUCUCCCUUUGAUGUUGAUUCUCCACCUUGUAGCUCUCCAAAUAGGUACAAAGAUAUGCACCUCCCUAAAGCUCUUCACCAAUGAUUGAAUGGGAUGAGAGAAUGUGUAGAUAACAAGUGAAGAGUGGUGCUAGCACCCUCACUUGAUGUGAUAGAUUGAAGGGGUUAGGGAGAGAGAGCUUGAUGUUUUCUUUCUCCCAAUUUCACCAACUUGAAAAACCCUAGGAUGAUAGAAUUUCAUAUCUACACAUUUAUAGGAUAAAAAAUGUCACAAGAGUGACAAAAAUGCCCCUAAACCCUAGUGUAGCCACAUCCCCCUCCCCCAAAGCCCAUUUUCUCUUUUUUGUGUGUCAUCUUUUGCUAUCUUGGUCUAACACAUUAAUCCUAUAAUGUGUCACAUGUGUGCCUAAAUCCAUAUGGUCAAAUCCCUUUUGAAUUUCCAAGUCAUAUGGGACCUUUAAUUAAAGUUUCAUAACUUUAAUUGAAUAAUUAAAUUAAUCUAAUUUUUUUUUAUUUCUCUAGUGACUUGACUAAUUUCAUCACUCACUUGUCUAACGAGUGUUAGUCCCAGUCAUCCUUAGUUGACCGUGUCAAGUGUCGAGUCAACCGUAUGACCUUUGACUUUUGACUUUAACCUUUGAAUUUCACAUUGACUUUGACCAAGUCACAAAAUCAUUCAUUCUCUUCAUAAUUUUCCAAUCGAUUCCUUUUCUGUGUGCGAUCUUAUGGGUUCUAAUUAGCGAGGCAGUGGGUAUGAAUUAUUUACUCUGAAUCUAGUGUAAAUUGUAUCCCUCCUUAUAAUUCUCCCUAUUGGCAAAGGCUAAUUAUAAUUAGUCCUUAUAAGGCUUUCACAAGCCAUGAGUGACACCUAGCAGUAUGUCAUGGCUACCCAAGCUAAAAAGAAUUCAUUUAGAGAACCUAGUCAUUUUGCGAUUACAAUGCAAUUCGAUCCUUCUCUAAUUCAAUACUCUAUGUCAUAUUCUCGGGAUAUGGUAAACUUGUGUCAAAAUCCCUAAUAUAACAUCUCUAGAUUAUAUGAUUCAAUUUGAUGAAAUUGCAAACGUUCUUAUUUCAAUUUCCAUCCAAUACUUUGGCCAAAGAUUCACGAAUCAUAUCUUUAGAGUAUUCUCUCUUCUUACUAAGAGCAGAGGAUUCUUGUUGUAUAUUCACCUGUCGCUGCGUACAUGCUAAGAAUCCUGAGGAACACCUUUAGGUCAAAUAAUUUUGAUACGACCGUAUAGUGUUAUUAAAGAGGAACAACAUAUAUACAAGACAACUGUGAUGUCUCAGGUCUAAGGAUUAAUUUGCAUUAUCACAACUUAGAAUUCUUUGUUUGACACUUGUGAGUAAGACUUCCAUACAAGAAUUCUAUAGUUGAUCACAUUCAGCAGACUCCAUCUUCUAUAGAGCACCUACACAUCUGUCUCAGUGUCUUUACACGAAUGACAUACUCUCUUACUGCAUCUCCAAAGAUUUAUCAUUAUAAAAAAAAUUAAAAAAAAAUUUGCCACUCAAUUACUGUUAUCAUACAGAUUUUGAUCUAAUUAAAUUAGCAUGAAAGGGAUUCAUCCCAGUGAGAUUCUGGAUCGACAAGGGAAUCCUAAACACAAGAAAUGUUAUGCAGUUGUCAUGUAAACACGCCCAACACUGUGUUGUUGGGAGAAAGGGGGAAAAUGAAGGAAUAAAUAUCAAUUACUCACGAAUUUGUUUUUAAAGGUAAUGCCUCUCUCCAUUUUUUGGUCGUGAGAGGUAAUGCCUCUCUUUGGUGCACAGAGGAAUGCGUUAUAUACAUGGGCUUGCAGCCCGGGCUUCUAUGGGCAGGCCGGGUUAGGUUUUAUGGACUCAAACAAGGCAGGUCAAGCUUUAAACACCCUAAUUCAAGCCGGCCAUUAAAUAACAGGUUGGGCUUUUUCUCAAUGGGUCGGGUGGGCCUCUAUUGGCCCAUGAGCUCGAGGGCUAAAUGGUAAUCCCAAAUUUAAUAUACAUAAGACAUGUGAUUUGAACUCUCCAACUUACUGCAAUGCUUUUUUAAAAUAAAAAUAAAAUAUUUCCACAUGUCUGGUACACCAGCUGGUGUACCCGGAACAUACAAAAAUUUCUCCUAUUUUUUAAGUCUUUAUUCAUAGAUUAUCUUUGCAAAAAAUUAGACAAAUUGAAAACCAUUAAGUGAUCUAAUUGUGACCAACGAAAUAGACUAAUAAUACCGUGCUCCAAGAAAAUACUAAAAUAACAGUCAUCUUUUUGAGAUUCAAGUGAUUUUUUUUUCCAGAGUUAACUUUAAAGAAAUAUCUAAAAACUAGACGAUUCUUAUCACUGAAAAACAAUACAUGUAAAUAGUGCAAUCCACUCACUAAUUUAAGAAGUUGGGCUUGUGCUUGAAUUCUACAUGCUUUAGCUACUCCCGCCACUCCCGCAAGUCACGAAUUUGGGUGAUUCUUAGGCCCACGUUUGAGUCCACACUCUCUUGUCAUGUUGACCAUAAAUAAUUGUUGUUUUCAUAAUAGAACUAGCUGUAAGCAAACAGAUCACGUCACCACUUUUAGAUUUCAAAAGUAUGUUGGGCAAACGUUGAUUCAUUCAUGGUUGAUGUUCCUGAUUUGUCAUUUAUAUUAGUUUUGCGGCUAAAAAUGGAGAAGGGUACAGAAGAGAUGUUGGUAUAUCAUUGGCCUGGACCAACAUUUGCAUAAUUGAACUCAACCCACCUUUAUAUAUGUUCAAAAUUUAAAACUUUUUCUUUUCGAAGUUAGGAUAGGGGAGAGAAUUUCUCUCACACACUGCCAAAGUAUCAUGAAAGUUCAAAUAUAAGACCACUAGUCGGCAAGUAAAAACUUUUUUCUACUGGACUAGACCCCGUUGACAUUCAAAGCCUUUUUAUAGCAUCCUACAAAAUGGCUAUGGUUAAACUCGAAUGUGUAACCCUAACUAACACAACUAGUAAAAGAAGCAUGAUCCUUAAAAAUAUGUAUUAUAAUGGGUGAAGCAAUGAAGGGCCCAGCCAAAAGAGGAUCUGGUUCCUCACUAUUUGUCGUGGAAGAGGCAAAAGGGCCUGUUAGAAUCUGGACCACAGAAAUGAAGUCCAUCUCAAGCAUAUCAAACUCAAUGAAAAAAUACAUAAGAUUAGAUUAGAUUUUUCUUCUGAACAAAAAGAACAGAUUUUCUCAAUUCUCCAAAGUAAAAAGGUUCAAAAAGAAACUAUGAACCCAAAUAACUUUUCAUGAGCUAUAUACAUUUCCUCAAAGAAUUUCUUUCCGCAAUAAUAUGCCUCAAAUCUUCCCCUCUGAUUUAUGGGGUCCAUUAUAUUUUAGACAUGCAUUGGAUCUAAUGAAUUAAGGUCUAGUCAGUGAAAUCAUUGAAAGGGAAUAAAACAUUAGUUGCUCUACAGCCUACUUGAUUCCCUAGUAUUUCUUUUCUUUUUUCAUUGAUACAAGAAAGGUCAAAUGGGAGCUUAGGGUUUAAGUAAAUGUACUCAACUACUGGAUUUGCGAGUAUUUAUCGGUCACUUUUUCUUUAAAUAAAUAAUGAACCCGAAUCAUCAUCUUCUUAUUUAUAAACUUUUUUUUAUAGUCAAAAUGAUCUCAAUUGGUUAAGCUUUUUACCUCUACCUAUGUGGACAGAGAUUACGCUAACAAAACCAUAAGAAAUUUACAAUUCUAUAAGAAUUUAUACAAUUUCAUUUAAAAAUUGAAAAAAGUUGUUCAAGUUGCGAAAGCUAAGUUAUUCAUUUUUUUAUAUAUUAGUGGUCUCAAAUAAUGAUGAACCUAAUGCUUAAUGUGGAGUUAAUUAAAUUCGAAUAAGGUUAAAUUUUCACCACUAUUAGGUGGGAAAAUGAUUUAAGAAUUAUGAAGAAUUCAUAUUUUUAUUAUUUCUUAUAUCUUUAAAAAAAAAAAUCCACCCUUUACUGCAAAAUUACAAGUGAUGGGUCCUGAAUCAAGGCAUUUGGUAUCAUAUGUCAACGUACCCAUAAUUCAAUAGUAAAAGUAUUUGCAUGCAGGUUAGUGGUCCCAACCCCAAGACACAUCUCCUUCUCCCUCAAAUUUUGGAAAAUAUUUUGCUCACAAUUUUAACUCAAGAUGUAUUUUCAUCAUCCUUCUUAAUACUUGACACGUGUCCAUAUAUAUAACUAUGGUCCUCUUUCUUUUGUAUUUGUGGAAUCAUGGUUAUACCUAUAAACACGUGUCAAGUAUUCAGAAGGGUAAUGAUAGUACAUCUCUGAUUAAAGAUGUGAACAAAAAUACUCCCAAACUUUGACAACAACAAAAAAAACAUUUGGUAUCAUGUGGAUAAGAUUUUGUUCCUUUUUUUUUUUCCUUGGACGGGUCUAUUUUGACAACUCUUUUUUCUUUGAUGGAAUGGAAUAAUUAUAAUGUCAUAUCUGCAAAAGAAAAAUAAUUACUCAUUGGACCAAAAAAAAACACUAACACUAAAAUAAAGUCUAAUCUUAUGGAAAACCUUUUUAAAACCACUAAAAUAAAACCUAGGUAAACAGAAAGAAAAAAAAAAUGCACCAAGUUAGACAAUGCCACCUGUCCAACCACCCACCCACUAAACUAAUGAAAGCAAUCAAUCACUGUUAAUGUCCCAUGAACAAUGCAUCCCCCACUUAAAGAAUAAAGCAAGUAAUGCUAAACGACAUGUCGGAUGAGUGGCAAAAUGUGCAAAAGGUUGAAAACCGCGUGACGUGAUAUGAAUGAAUCACGUGCUUCCUUGAAUUUCAAGAGAUACGACACAACAAGACCCACACUCAGACCAAAAAAAAAAAAACAAGACCCACACCUAAAAAUAAAAACCUGAUUGGUGCUGCUCAGUGCUCCACACACUAUGCUUUCAACCCUCUAAAAUCAGUUAUAGGGCCCUCGGGUCUCUCUCCACUCGCUCUUGCGCGCAGCUCACGUGCUCGUAAGUUUGGGGCUACGAUGCCGUAGGCAUUUCCGGUUUGGUUUGAUAGUACAGUUUUAUACGCAAGGUCUCUUUUGUUUUAGUUUAUUUCACCCGAGCGUUGGGGGAUCCAAACACGUUGUUUGUGCUGAGAAAAACUUACAUACUACCGGUUAUAUACACUUUAGUUUCUAUAUUAUAAAUUACGUGAUUUUAUGCUAUAGAAACUUGUUAAAAAUGUUUGUUGCACAUUGAUAAGUUAAGGGAUCUAACUUGAGUUUAUAAGAAAUUGGGCUACUCUUCCCAUUAGGCAUUUUCUAACACAUUUAGUUCUAAACUCAAAUUUCCCCCCUUCAAGAAGUAACUAUUUGGGUUUUGCCCAGACUUAAACCGUUUUUUCCCCAACCCUGCAUACUCAAAUUUUAAGUCCGCAAUUUUAUUAAAUAAUUUAAGUCUAAUUUUUCUUCAUUUAAUCUUUUUAAAUAACUUCAUAAUUUAUUUUUUAAACAAUUUGACCCAAAAAAUUAAAAUUCCAUAAAUAUAAUUUUAUUUGAGAAAUAGGUGGGCAUUUAUAGAGUUUAGAGUGAGUUUUGGGAUUAGAUAAUUUUUUUGAAGGACCUUUCUUAUUGAGAUGAGCGAUAGUAUACUAAACUCACACACACUACACGGAUGGUAGGACUGUCCGUGAGGAUCCCACCGGAGCGCCUUCUACUUCUAAUAGGCCAUGAACUACUCGAACCCAAGACCUUACCUAGGGAAGUAAUUACUCCAAACCACUACACUAACCCUAAACUUAUGUGCAAUAAGAUAAGUUAAAUUGAGUUGUUUGAAAAUGGAUUUCGUGCCUCUAUGUUUAAAGGUUGUGCAUUUACAUGCAUUUUGCAACAUCUAGUCCAUUCAAAUAAUCUAACGGUUUAAAACAUGACAUCAUCAACAUAAAUGUUUAACAUUAUAUAAUAGUAGCCUCUCUGCACGCGCUUCUGCGCCUGUGAGAGGCUUUUUUUGAAAAAAAUUAAAAUUUAUUUAGAAUUAAAAAAGAUAAUGGGUAGUUGUGUUCCAUAAAAAUAGGAUCCAUUAUCUGAUUUUUCUUUUAAUUUUAAUUUUUUUAAAUAUGAAAAAGUAUGAAUUUACCAUAUUAUCCUCAUUUAAUUAAUAACUAGCCUCUCCGCACACGUGUGAAUUUACCAUAUUAUCAUCAUUUAAUUAAUAAUUUUAAUUCUUAAUGCUUGGAUUAACUAAGGGCAUUUUAUGGUAUUUUGAAUGUUUCACCAUUCUCUGCCUUUUGCUUUACGAGUAAUGCUACACUUACCACAUUUGUAUAUCACAUUCUCAUACCACCUUAUGUGGCAGAUGAAGUGGACAACCACAUCAAUUAAAAAGUGUCAAUAAAUCAUAAAAGAAAAGAAAAUGUUAAAUUAAUUUAAUUGAUGUGGUUGUCCACCUCAUCUGCCAUAUAAGGUGGUAUGAGAAUGUGGUAUACAAAAUGUGGUAAGAGUAGCAUUAUUCUUUGCGCUUUAUAUAUAUAUAUAUAUAUAUAUUUCAAUUCUUAAUGUUUGCAUUAACCAAAGGCAUUUUCUGGUAUUUUGAAUGUUUUACCAUUCUCUGCCUUUUACUUUAUAUAUAUAGAUGUUUUAAAUUAAAAACUGUUUAAAAUUAACACUUGUUUAAUUGUUAAAGUAAAAAUAAUAAAUACUAAAAACCCAUUGUUUUCCGGCAAAACGUGAAGCAAGGGGUAGGGGGCUGUGAGGUAUCGGGUAGGAGGAAGUCAGUCAACAAAACAUUUUACAUAUCAUCACAGCCAUUGAUGUGGUGAAAUUGCUUGAAUUUUCCUUCAUAUCUAUAUAUGCAAAUGGGCUUGAGAAGCCAUUAAUUGAACUCAUGAUUUUCCUCCAACUUUGUUUAUGCAGAAGCAUAUCCUCCACAAUAUAAUUUAGGUGAAAAAUGGCACAAUUUUGGAAGGCGUUGGGGUGGGAAGGGAUGGAGUGAGAUAGAGAGAUGGCAUUGAGAUGGCAUUUGAUAUGGCGGCUUAGGUGGUGUUGGGGUGGUUAAGGAUGGUCAUGGCGGGGAUGGGGUGGGGCAGGGGAGUCCACUUCCUGGAAUUUUUCACUCUGGAUUUUUUUGAUUUUUUAAAUCUCAUUUUUUUAAUUUUAAAUUCUAUUUUCUAUUUUUGAAGUUAUUAAAUUUUAUUUUAAAUUUUGUUAAAAUUUAUUAAUAUGUCAUAUCGUAAACCGUUAAAUUAUUCAAAUAGACUAGAUGUUACGAAAUUACGAAUAAAUGCAUAACCUCUAAAUAUAGAGGCUUGGAAUCUGUUCUAAGACCAGGACUGCAAGUUUGCAACCACCACCCUACUUAUCAUAGUCCCAUAACUUCAUGCAUGCAUGCAUUAUGGUAACUUAUGACCCAAAUCAGCAAGAAAGUGAGCUGCAAAGUCAGCUUUACAAAAUACACGACCAAAGCAGCAUGCUCCUUACUUGCUUACAACUUGAAUUUUUUGUUUUGUAAUCCAAAACAAAGCAGCAUGCUAACUCUUUUUUUUUUUUUUUUUUUCUUUUCUUAGUGAUUAAGCUCAAUUACCGUAUAAAGUUAUCAUAUCAAUCUUUUUAGGAUUAUAUUUUGAGAUAUUUAGUGAUAUACCCAUUUCUAGCACUAAUAUUAUAAAUAAACCCUACACAAUUGAAUUCCUAUAAACAAACCCAAAAAAAACCCAAAAAAUGAUAGCUGGCCUUAUUGAAUUUAAUAUUAAUUAUUAAAUUACUUUGAUGCCCUAUUGAGUGCUUUGGGUAUUUUUAUGAGAUUUUGGGGUUGGGCUUGUUUUAAGAAAUUGAUGGCAGUUUUGUAAUUUAUAAGAAGUUAAAAGCUUUUUUGUUAUGUUGUAAAUGGACUUUGGGUGUGUUUCUAAAGUCCAUUUUAUAUAGGGUAUUUUUAUAAUUUUGGCCCCCAUAUUGGGUAUAAUAGUGAAUCUCCCUUAUAUUUUCCGUAACUUGCUUUGGCUUACUUUUCAAAUGUAACAUAGUCAUGUGAAAUGAAAUACAACAAUUUUAUUAUUGAAAGCUAAAACGAAUACAUAGGGCUGGCCAUAAAAAACCGAAGACAUUGAUUUUUUUUUUUAAUUUGAUCGAAAAUAAUUAAAUUUCAUUAACCAAAAUCAUUGGUUACAAUAAGGUCAUCAAGAAUACAAUUCAUUAGCAACAUAGGGUCUUCUUCUAGCCAAUAAUAAGGACCUUAUUCAUGUAAAGCAAAACGAGAAAUAGCAUAAAUCACUUUGUUACACUCCCUAGGACGAAAUUGGACUUCCUUUAAAGAAAACCGCAUGAGCAAGUCUCUCACAUCAUCCACAAUGUUGCAGAUAGUAGCCCAAACAGUCUCCCAUGAAUUAAUCAUCAUAACAGUCUUAAAAGAGUCAGUUUCUAUGAGGAAAGGGAAAAAAACCAGCAACUGCAGCAAAUAAAACUCCUCUAUAGAUAAAUUACAAUUUUGUAGCUAGAAUGGAAACCCUACGAGGGCUUUGCAUGGCUAGGGCACCCAUAAAAACUCCAGAAUCAUUACGAACAACUGCACCUACACUACGCAAGCCUGUUGCAUUGUCAGUAGCUCCAUCAACAUUGAGCUUAUAGAAACCUUCAGGGGGACAACUCCAAAUCUCAUUCUAAUUAACCCUACAAGCACGAACAACGCCUCUAUCAAUAUAUUUCUUACUUAUAAUAUUAUGAAGCGAAAGCCCAUAAAUAUAUGAAGCCGAAGUAUCAACCUAAUAUAAAGCCAACAUUGCAAUCACCAUUCUAAUUUCUAAAUUGCUGACAUGAGCAUCUACAAUAGUCUUUUUAAAGGCUUUUAAAUAAUAGAUAUUUAGUUAUAUACUAAUUCUUAGCACUAAUGAUAUAGGUAAAUCCUACACCAUUUAAUUUAUAUAAACAACCCAAAAAAAAAACUCAAAAAAUGACAGAUAACCCUAUUGAAUUUAAUUUUAAUUAUUAAAUUACUUUGAUGCUCUAUUGAGUGUUUUGGUUUUAUUUUUUUUAAUGAGGUUUUGAGGUUGGACUUGUAAUUUAUAGGAAGUUCGAAGCCUCUUUGUUAUGUUGUAAAUGAGCUUUGGGUGUGUUUCUAAAAUUACAUUUCAUGUAUAAUUUUUUUAUUAUAUAAUUUGGGCCUCUAUAUUAAAUAUAAUAAUGAAUCUUCAUUUGAAUAAUUGAUUUGGUGAGUCACCUAGGCAAAAAAAAGUUUCGAUAGAAGUUCAAGUCUAUGACCACCUUCUCAGUCUACAAAUUUUUGGUCACCACUUUCUAACUCUUCAACUUAGCUUUCUAUAUUAAAAAAAUUAAACAUAUUGUUAUGGGAGAAGAUAGAGAACUAUGAAGAGUUCUUUGGAAGGCAAACUUUUUAAAGUAAUUAACGAACUUUAUUCUUCAAAUUUCCACAUAAAUCAAUAAAAUACAAUUUUGAAAAAUGAAAUUUGUUUCUUCUCUUGAUGCUACAUUCAACAUUCAUAUAAAUAACAAACUAAUAAUCAGAUUAUAUUAAAAGUUAAUGUGUGUGAUAAAGAAUAAUAAUAAAUGGUGAUAACCAAUAAUAAAAUAUCAAGUAGAAAAAAAUAAUGAAAUUAAUAUAGGUCGUUUGAUUCGGGUUUUUUUUUUAAAUAAACCAAACCAAACCACACCACUCAAAUAAAUCUAAUUUGACCUAUUUAUAAAGUUAGCAAAUAAAUUAAGAAAAAAGUUAAAAUGAAGACAUUCACCAAAUAAUAUGAAAGAAUACUUGUAUAAAAUUAGAUAUUUUAUUCUUUUAUAUUAUUUGGUGAAAUUGGGCCCAAGCCCAAUUGUUCUUUUAUUUAUUUUUAUAGAAAUUUUGAGAUUACAUUCAUAAUGUUGGGAUUAAAAUUUUGAUAUAAAUAAAUAAAUAUAUAUAUUUUACUUUAACGUUUGCUUCCAAUUUAUUAUAACUUAUAAUUAUAGUUUUCUUAGAGAUUCUUUUAUUUUUAUAUAACCAGUGUGAAAUUAUUAUUAUGUAAACGUGUUGUCAUUUGUCUUUAUUGAAUUUUUUCAUGCGUUUGACAGCAAAAUAAUAAUAACAAUAGUAAUGUAAAGGACUCACUAGUGUAGUAGUUUGGGGCAAUUGUUUUCCCAAGAAAGGUCCUGGAUUUUAGUCCUAUCUUGUGUGUGAGCAGUGGUGGAGCCAGGAUUUCACAUUAGAGGGGCCCCUUCACAAAAUUUUAAAAAGUAAUCCAAAUAGGAGAGUUCAAGCGCUAACCGAUUAAUAAGUUAAUGCGAUACUAACUACUCGGUUUAGCCCGCAUCAUAAUAUCAUUUCAUAUUGGUUAAUAAUUUAUCGAUUCAUUACAAUCAUAAUUGUCUUGAAUUUCAUAUUUUAACAUUGUUGAAUAUUAAUCUCAUCGUCUACACUAUUAAAGGUUCAAAAGUUAAUAAUUUAUAUUCCAACAGAGAGAAGAAGUACAAAAAAAGUUCAUAAAUCCCAAUAUUACGGUACCCUACUUAGACAUAUAAAAAAGGAGGGAAAAAAAUUCACAAAGCUUAAGUUAAACAAAAGCGGAAAAGAAAGAGAAAAAAGAAUUAGGAGUUUUUAGUGCAAAUAUCAUAACUCUAACCUAGAAGUUUUAAGGGAAAGUAGAAGAGUGAUUAGUAACUUUUAUGGUUAAUUUGUAGACAAAAAUAACAUAAUAUUUUAUUUAUUUUAGAGUAAAUAUCCCAAAAAUAAUCUAAUAUAUUAUAAUAUUAUAUAUCAUAUAUAAGGAAACUUUUUUGAACCAUUGGAUGUUACAUCCAACGGUGGGUGACCACAGUCUCUUGGACCCCUGUGGUCCAAGAGAUCGGGGAUGUCUGUAUAUAUAAAGCAAAAGGCAAAGAAUGGUAAAACAUUCAAAAUAUCAGAAAAUGUUCUUGGUUAAUACAAACAUUAAUAAUUGAAAUUAUUAAUUAAAUGAGAAUAAUAUGGUAAAUUAGCACAUUUUCAUAUUAAAAAUUAAAAUUAAAAGAAAACUUAAAUAAUAAAUACUAUUUUUAUGAAACACAACAACCAUUAUCUUUUUUUAUAGUCGUGCAAGUUUACUUAAGAUUUAUAAACAACAUUAUCCUAGUAGAAGCGCUCUUGCCAACAAGUGAUCCAAUAUUUUGAGAAACGUAAAUAGAGAUUAUUAUAAAUUAAAUUAAGAGAAAAUGACUAAGUUGAUCCUUCUAUCUUGGGUAUUUUUCCGCUAGGUCCCAUAACUAGAGAGGUGGCAUAAGGGCGGAUAUACACUUGAGUUAGUGGGCUUCAGAUUUUUGUGUGUGUGUAGUUUUAGUUGUUUAAGCUAAAUAUAGGUAAAGUAAAUAAUAGUCUAGCCCUUUAUUUAAAAUAAGCUAAGCUCUUUAUGUAGAAAUAAGCCCACUCUGGAAGCAUAUAGGAAAUAGUAAACAUGCAAUCCAUAACCUAUAUAAAUUUGAUUAGAAGCAAACAUCAGAAUUUUUCUUCUAGCCACCCAAAACAUCAUAUUUGAACCUUCAGAGCCUAGAAUAAAUAGCUCUCUCCCUCUGAAAAAUUGUACCAACCUAUUUUAAGUGGGUUCGCCAAUCUUGAUAAGUUUUUCUUUUUAUUUAUUUAUUCAAUUUCCAAUUUGAAUUGUUGUUGUUAAGUUUUUAUGAUUUAGGGUUUAUGUGAAAAUUUUUGGGGAUUGUUAUAUAUGUUUUAUUUUUGCAACUUAAAUUAUUAAUUAGUAUAUAUGAUUUUUGGUGUCUAGUAUUUCUUGUUAGGAUAUCAUGUCACAUGAUUAUAAUAGACCAACAAAGAGAGGAAAAACUAUUCUUCAAAAAAAGGGGUAACGAUAACAAGGAUAUACAUACACCUUCUGCAUAUAAUGUUGAUACUUCAAUUCCUGAGAAACUUUCUCAACUCGGAUCUCAAGUAGUUGAACAAUGUGUUUGAUUUGAUAUUUGUUUAUAUUUGGUAUUUCUUUGUGUGAUAUUUGCUCGUAAUGUGACCUUCUUUGAUUUAUAAAAUUUAUUCACAUUUUUGUUUCAAGAGGAAAAAUAAAAAAAGGCUUAUAAUAUAUCUCCUGUAAAAAUAAAAAUAAAAAAUAGCUUAGUCCUAUAAAAAUUCCUGGAUUCGCCAUUGGUAGCACAUCAAACCAAAAACCAAGAUCCUCCUAACUAAGACCAUAACAUGCAAUACGAUCGACAACUCCAUUAGCAGUCCGAGAAACAUGGUGAACAGAAUAAGACGACACUGAGUUGAAAAGACGACGAAUAUCCUUCACUAAACCCCCUUUUGCAGCAAAACAAACAUCGUACUUACUUCUAGUUGUAGAUUAAGUAAACUAAAAAUCUCUAAUUAUCAAAAUUGAAACUAUAUAUAGGUCUUCAAGUGAAAAAUCAAGCAAAUUCUAAGGACCCGAAAUGUAAGUUGGACCUAUUUUAAUGUUUUAAUGUACAUUGUACGAAGUUGUGUACAUCAUCGUUGUCGUGUACGCUAUACACGGCUGCUAUAGAACGAGGCGGAUGAAAUGAAAGUAGGCGUGACAAAUGUGACGACAAUUAUUAGAGGCAUGAACGAAUCUGCCGUCCACAAAUAAUCGAAAUACAAUAAAAUAAAAUAGUAAGAGCAAGACACGAUUGGCUUGUUUAAGGCUGAACAAAAGCAAACCCUACAGCUUUCCCCACUUGCUUAAAUUGUUUUCACGUUUAUUUCCUGCGACUUUUUUGUCCUCCUCCUCAUGGGACCCUGAAAAACUGACAUCCCAUUAUGUGCAUGAACAUUUCUAUUUUUAUUUUUAUUUUUAAAUUGGUGAAAGCGAUUUUGGUCAUAGAGCAUUAAAAAUCUUUACAUGGAUUGGAGAUUGUAAAGGUUCAAUAUCUUUAAUGUACCGAAAAGAAAGUCGACAUAGUAGAAAAUAAUAAUAACUGAUUAUAAAUAAAAUUAGAAAUUACGAUGUCAAGUGUUGAAAAAAAAGAUAGCGAUUUUUAUGCUCUAAGUUUAGUAUGUGUACGUAGAAAAAUGACAAAAUAUUUAGUUUGGAGUGCAAAGGUUAAGCUGAUAGUGCCAAAAUCGUUACCCGAAAAAUCACUUUGGCUUGGUCAUAUUCAUACUAGUCUGCUAACACAAAGAAUGAGAAUUCUUACUUGAAUUUUCUUUGGCUCAUUGAUGGCUUGACUAUUCCCUUGAAUUUUCUUUUACCCCAAAAAUGAAAUAUGAAGUAAUUAUUCUUAUUAUUAUUAUUAUUAUUAUUAUUUUGAGGUUAUUUCCUAUUGAAAGGGGCGAUAGACUAAGAUUCGAACCCAGGACUUUGCCUGAGGGAGUAAAAUUCCAAAUCACUACACUAAUGGGUCAUUUGCAAUAUGAAGUAAUUUUUAUAGAGGAAGAAGGAGGGGUUUUUCUGAAAAGGGUGGUGGUGGUGACUCUGGAUUGAAGGAAGGGGUGUGGCUGGAGAUGGUGCUUAAGGGUAUGGGCCGAGGAAGGGGUGCAACUGGGGAUGGUUGCUAGAUAGGGGUCGGAUUCCUCAUGGACUGGUAGCUUUCAAAGAAGAUGAUAGGGGCAUCGUCAUCGUGGUUGGUGAUGUCGCUCGAUAGGGUCUUGAAGAUGUGUUGGGUUGAAGCUGAAACGAGGUUAUUGUUUUGUCUCUUUAAUUGUGUUUCUUCCUUCUCAUUAUUUGGUGUUUCAAAUUUUUAAUUAAGAUUUUUAAUCUUAUCUCUUAAUUUUGAAUGUAAUUUUUAACUUUAUCGUAACAACGAAAUCAUAUCAUCACUAGCCACCAGGUUCAUAUGUCACAUCAUCUUUUGAUGAUCAUUUUUAACAAUAAAUUAUCACUAUUUCGUAAACGUGCCGACACUAAAAUAUUCAAAUUGAAAAACACGAUUUAACCAUGCUAUUUGAUGAAAGAUUCAAUGUACUAAGCUGAAAUUAACCUUGUAAUAUAUUACUUCUUUUUUCACUUUCCUCUUUCUGCUGAAUAUUGAAAGAUAUACAAGACCAGCCUUGGUGGAAAACCAUGUCCUCAUUCAUGGACCCUCAUAGAAAUCAUUAUCUUUUCGUAAAGUGUGGUGCAAGCGAUAGUGACAACAUCCACAUUCGCACCAUGUGAUUAUCUAACGAAUCUAUUUUUCUAACAGGAGUGAGUGAAAUCAGUUGGUCAAAUUAGUGUGUUGAUUUUUUGCAUUUUAGUUCGAUUCUGCGUUCUGUACGUUAGACUAAAAUAUCACUUUAUAAAAAAUAAAAAUAAAACCCACCAAGUGAAGAAGCAAAGCUACGCACCUGAGGGUUCUUUUUUCCUCUUUUGUUUGGUUCAACCUGAGGGUCACCUUCUGGAAGCAGGACAAGCUUUUGUUUACAACUAUUAGCUUCUGUACUUUGUGAUUUUUGUUUUGCAAUUGAUUCUUGCUCAAUAAAAUAUUUGUAUUAUUAAAAAAAAUGCAAAAAGAAAAGAAAAAGAAAAAGAUUCCUGAACAAAAAAAAACAAAACAAUCUCUUAGCAGAAGAAACAAAAAGGGGAUAAAAUAAUAAUGGAUUCAAAAAUUAGACGACAAAAGAACAAACAAAUUUGAGAGAUUAAAACAGAUUAGCUUGUAUUGCAAUGGGAAGAGAACGACGUCGUAGUGGACUCUCAGUGGACCCCGUUGAAAAUGUUGGCGUUCGUGACGAUAAGGUUCAUGGGUUUUAACGAAAAAAAAAAACAAAGGAUAAGAUAAGUAUUUUUUUUUUUUUAAAGAUGGGGAGGAUUUUUCACAUGGGAAGGAGGAAUGUUACACGUGCCUAACAAAACAAAAAUAAAAAAGAAAAAAAAGAAAAAAAAGAAGGGAAACGUGCUUUUACGACACGCAUCAAGCAAAACGUGUUUUUAAAUAUUUAAACCGUGUAUUAUUAUACGCGAGCAAAUUGUAAUAAAUUAAUGAUUAUCUGGUGUGGGAAUUUUGAAAACGAGGGAAAGGACGAAUGGGGGGCGACCAGAUCAAGGGCCAGGAUUCGAUCUGUGAAGCCAACGCGUCCCCACCCUUUUUGUCUUUUAUGUUUUAUAUUCCGUCGUUGAGUCGUUGAGUCGUUGUCCGCUACUCGAUUCAAAGUAAUUAACCUGAGAGGAAAACAGGAGCUUCAGAUGGAUUGCCGAUUAGUUCGAUGGCGUGCGCCGAGGAUUUGGAUUUUCACUGCUGCUGCCGAGAGGCGGCUACUUCGUGGAAGCUAACUGUAGAAAGGUGAUGAUUAAACUCCCGAACAAUGGAUUUUAGAACAGUUUUUGCAUCUCAACUGUUGUUUACUAAUCUUCGUAUUGGAAAUGUCACCAUUGCGACAGCUCAUUGCUUAAGUCACAAUUUAGAAGUAAUAUCUUUAGAAAAAUAAUUAGAGAUCGUUUAAUAAUGCAUGUGUGUGGAACAAAUUUUAUGAUUUUAGUAACAUUAAGAUCCUUAUGAUGAAUUGAGUAUUUAUUUGAUACAUAUGGAUAACUAAACGAUCUCCAACUAAUUUUUUUAUAUAGAUGAACAGUUUCAAUUAUGACAUAUUCACAAGGAGGAUUUGUUAAUCAUAAGAACUAUAGUGGCCGAGGAAGUGCACCCGGAAGAUCCUUCGUUAAAAUAGCAAAUAAUAGCAUUGCAUUUGUACAUUGUGUUUGAUAAUCAUUUUACUUUUCAUUUUUACCAUAUUGAAAACAAAAAACUUGUAUUGCAACCAAUUUUAGUUUUAGUUUUUUUUUAAAAAACCAAAAACUGUUUAAAAGUUGUUUUAAACUAUUUUCAAUUUUUUGCGGAACUUGGAUAUUGAAUUUUGUUGGGGUCAAAUUAUGAAUUUGAGAUCAUAGAAUGAAAGUACAUGUUAUAAAGGGUCUGUAGUAUUUUUCGAUGAAUUUUUUGGAAGUUAGGAUGAUUUUAUUUAUUUAUUUAUUGUAAUUUUGGAUAUGGAGGUCCCAAGGAUUGGAUUGGGUAUGCGACCAAAUGCAAGUGUCGAGCGCAUGGGUCCAAGUCCGGAGGUCCUAACCGCUAUGCAUUACAUUUUUGGUGAUGUAAAAUUGGUGAAUGAGAAAGGAGCGAAAAAAGAAAAAGAAAAAAGGAAAACUGAAAACACUUUCAAGUUGUUUUAACAAAUAGGGGAGGUUUUGAAAACAAGCCACCACUUCAUUUUUACCCUUUCUCCUCCACUAAACUAUUUACUUAGACGCUUUGAAGCUCUAAGGAACUCUCUCUAUAAAAAAAAAACCCUUAGGAACCAACUCUAGCCACCGCUGCCCUUUUGGGGGUGGUGGCAUCCUUCUCCACCCAUCUCCACCUCUCUCCCCUCCUCUCCUUCUCUACCCUACCAUUCCCUCCCAUCCCCUCCCCUCCCUUCUUCGCCCAUCCCCUCCCCAAUUUUUGGUGAGGAUGAAGUAGUAGUGUAUUGGUAGUUUUGUUGGUGAAUUUGAUGACAAACGAGGUGGUUGUGUGGGUUUUACUCACUUGUUGUGUGUUUACAAUGUCUUGAACUGUAAUAAUUGCAUCAACUGUUUGUUUGUAGUCUAUUCUCUACUUGUGAGAGUUGUAAUUGUAUUGGUAGUUUUAGACAACAAACCACUGCCGCUUUGUGUUAUCGUUGAACACAAUCUUAUAUUUAUUUCUUUUAGAUAUGAUAGUUAUUCAAGGAGAUAAUAUUCUCAUACUAUAAAGAUCAAUACCAAUAUCUGCAGCAAAUAAAUAAUUUUGGUAUUUAUGUGAUGACUUUAAGACUUAAAUAUGAGGGAGAUAGCGAAAAGAUUGAGCAUUAUUGGAAUUACUCAUGUAACUUGCCAUGGAAUGUAUAAAAUAUAAAAUAUGAUAGUAAAUCAUUAUAAAUAUAGAAAAGAUUAGAGUGUAUUUUAACACUCUUUCAUUCUAAAGUUCCUUAUUUUCUUUUUCUUUUUUUUAUAAUUAAUUUAUUUUAAUUUAUAAAUUUUUUUUAUACAAUUGCCGUAGUUUUAUAAAAAUUUUACUGACAACGAUAAUUUGUCGAUGUUUCCAUGUUUUUGGACUACUGAUAUUUCCAAAACCAUCAAUAUUUAAGACCACACGCAUAUCCCCCACGCUCUCCUUCACACACAUAUCUUCUUAAUAGGUAUGUAAGAUAAAUUUAACCCACCGCAUUUUGAAAUUUUGGAUCCGUUCCUAGCUUGUGUGGCUUAUGGUCUUUAUGCCAAAUUUAUGACUACAAAUUACAAUUAUCAUUUUCUCUCUAGAAAGGGUGAUUUUGAAAAUUAAAUUUCAUUUUUUAAAAAACAGAAAACAAAAUAUGUAUCAAACAUGUUUUUAGUUUUUUUUUAAAAAAAGUAAAAAUGAAAUUGUUAUCAAAUAUCGGUAAGACCCUAAGAAAAUGAAUCUAGUAAUAUACUUAUCAAUGCGACUAAUUUAACUGCAUAUGCUCUAAUUAGUAUUGGCCAAGUCUUCUUUUUUCCAUCUUUAGUGGCCAGUUAGUUUUUUUGAAAUUCUUCUUUUCUCAUCUACCUAUAGUGAAGUUGUUGCUCAUGAGAUUGCUCACCAAAUCUUAUAUUUUUUUUUAUUGGGUUUUACAUGAAAAUUUAAUUUGGCAACUAAGAAAAAAAUCUAGCCAAAUUGGUCACUGUGUUUUCCUAAGUGUACAAUUUAUAGACAUAUAUUUUAUAAGUUAAGUGCAUUUUUUUUAUAGGAAGUACUUUCAAUCUUCUUCCUUUAACUCAACGAGUUAGGGUAUAUUGUGCUAUUAGGGUUUAACAAAUUGGGGGAAGAUUAAAUGUGCUUUACAACAAUCUGUUAGAGGGCAUCACAAGUAGAGGAAGAACAUUAAACGUGCUUUGUAAAAAAAUAAAAAAUAAAAACUGCACUUAACGGAAGAUAAUAGAAUGUCUAUAAAUUGUAAACUUUGGAAAACACAGUGACUAAUUUGGCUUAUUUUUUGCUCAGUGACCAAAUUGAAUUUUCGUGCAAAACCUAGUGACCAAAAAGGUAUUUAACCAAUAAAAAAUAGGUUUAAGUGCUACAGUGCACCUUGAAACAUUAGUCAAAUCCUCUUUUACCCCCUUAAAGUCAAAGUGACACACUUUGCCCAUUGACCAAGGUUUGAUGUUUCACAUUGCCCCUACCGUAACUCCAUCAAAAUGUCCGUUAAGUUUGAUGAUGUGGCAGGGGUGUGUUAGUAAUUUUGAAGGAAAAUGACUUCCUAUGUCAUUUCUCAAUGGAUGGGAAAUGAAGAUUCUUUUCCUAUGUUUGGUAAUUCUGGGAAAGUAAUCAAGAAAUACCACUUUAUUUCCUUUCACAUGUUUGGUUUAUGUAGGAAUAUAAAACAAAGUUGGUUUAAUUUUUCAUGUAUACCCAUAUGAAAUCAAAUAAAAAAAAUGCAUUUAAUGCUAUAUUAUAAUUCUAAAUUGUUAAUGAGGACAAUAUGAUCAUGAAAAAUGUGUAUUUAAUUUUGGCUCAUAACUUUCCCGUGAGGAGGAAAACAAAACCCAAGUGGGUUGGAGGGCUUCACUUUCCCCCUACUUUUCCAUGUGCAAGACAACGAUUUCCCAUGUUUGGAAUUACCAAACAUGGGAAAAUAAUUGAUUUCCCCAUCCCCAAGCCUCUUUUUCCAUGAACCAAACAAGAGUAAAAUGGGAUUUGACUUUUCAGAAUGAAUUAAGCCUAAAAAAUUAUACUAAUUUUAUCAUUUAUGUGCAGCAUUCCACAUAUAAGAAGUCGACUAAUAAUUUUAAUUGUUCAUAUAAAUAUCUAAUUAUUAAUCAUCUGAUGUUUGAAGUAAUUAAUUCAAUACAAAAGAUUAUGCCGUUAUAAGUUUUUGAAUAGAUUCAGCUUUUUAUCCCAGGAUAACUAAUUCUAAAAAAAAAAAAAGUUUCCGAAUAGAUUCAGCCUUUAUUCUAGUGGAAAAAUAAAUUCAACCUUUUAUUCCAGUCAAAAGAUUAUGCAGUCAAACUUUUACUCCAUUACUCAUGUGAAAUAAAGAUCUUGGAAAAUCACCUUAUCCCAAAAACGCACAUUUCUAUUGUUAUCAUCAUUUUCCAGUUAAACUUACGUUUUUGUAAUAAAUAAGCCACGCCUCCGCACGUGAUUAUGGUGUUAGUGUUGCAACUUGCAGUGUCGGAAGUCCAAACUCCAAAGCCCAUUUCCGAAUGGUCAAAAGUCAAAGUGUUUCCAGCUGUGACACUUGUAACGCACGUGACGCACGUCCAAGCUUUAGAUAGAUGUAUGUACAUACGCCGGCUUUUGGAUGAUCUACGCUGGCGAUUAAAUCGGCCAACCCGAUUUUCCCCGAAACUCCCCCUUCCUUUUUACUCGGCUUGCGCUAGUAAACUUUUUGUCCGCUCACUCUCUCCUCCACCCUCCACCCACUUUCCUCCCCAACCAAAAUUCAGCUCAAAUGCUCUCCAAAUAAAUCCCCAAACACAAAUUCAGAACUCCCCAAAUCAAAAUUAUCUCUCUCUACCUUCUCAUUUUCUCUCCGCACCCUAUCCUCUCUUUGUCGUCCACACCUACUCUUACGUCACUAAGACGGUAUCGCUCACAUGACGGACUAUCGGAUACCGCCGACGAUGAAUCUUUGGACGGACGACAACGCGUCGCUGAUGGAGGCCUUUAUGAGCUCAUCCGAUCUGACGUCGUUUUGGGCGGCGCCAUCGGCCCAGCCCACGCCUCAACCCGCUCACCCCCAAGCCCAGCCUCAGUCGUCAGCCUCCACUUCAGACUACCCGAAGGCGGCUGCUGUCGCGCCAUCUCAGCCGUCCAUCACGCCCUUCAACCAGGAGACCCUCAUGCAGCGCCUCCAGGCCCUCAUCGAAGGCGCUCGUGAGAGCUGGACCUACGCCAUCUUCUGGCAGUCCUCGUACGACUACUCCGGCGGCACCGUUCUCGGGUGGGGUGAAGGGUUUUACAAGGACGAGAGGGACAAAGGCAAGGCUAAGGCCAAAACGACGACGUCCGCCGCCGACCAGGAGUACAGGAAAAAAGUCCUCCGCGAGCUCAACUCCUUGAUUUCCGGCGCCGACACGUCAGCAGACGACGCAGUAGUGGAUCAGGAGGUGACCGAUACCGAGUGGUUCUUCCUGGUCUCGAUGACUCAGUCGUUCGUCCCCGGCGGCGGGCUUCCGGGUCAGGCCUUCUUUCACUCGACCCCGGUCUGGGUUGCUGGAGACCGGCUGGCUGCGUCCCCGUGCGAGCGGGCGAGACAGGGCCAGUUGUUUGGGCUGCAGACUAUGGUUUGCGUUCCGACGGCAAAUGGGGUGGUUGAGCUGGGCUCGACGGAGCUCAUCUACCAGAGCUCGGAUCUGACAAACAAAGUCCGGGUUUUGUUCAAUUUCAACAAUUUGGAAGUGGGUUCGUGGCCUAUGGGCGGCGGCGGUGCCGAUCAGGGAGAAAAUGACCCGUCGUCGCUCUGGAUUAACGAUCCGUCGUCCACCACCAUCGAAGUCAAGGACCCGGUGAACAUGGCUCCCGUUACUUCGGCACCCACCAGCACCAGCACACAGCCCGUCUCGAAGCCAAUUCAGUUCGAAAGCCACCAGCCGAGUUCCAGUAGCUUAUCGGAGAACCCGAGCGCGAUUCAAUUACAACAAUCGCAGCAGCAGCAGCAAGUACAGCAGCAGACGCAAAGCUUCUUCACCAGGGAGCUCAAUUUUUCCGAUUAUGGUUACGACGGGAGCAGCGGGAAGAACUCCAAUUCCAAUUCCCAUUCGUUGAAGCCUGAAUCGGGGGAGAUUUUGAGUUUCGGUGAGAGCAAGAGGAGCUCUUACAGCGCCAACGGAAAAUUGUUUUCAGGGCACUCCCAAAUUGCCGCCGCCGAGGAUAACAACAGCAAGAAGAAGAGGUCGCCGACCUCUCGCGGCAGCAACGACGAGGGGAUCUUGUCGUUUAGCUCGGGGGUGAUUUUGCCGUCCAGUGGUGUCGUGAAAUCGGGCGGCGGUGGGGCCGCCGAUUCGGACCACUCCGACCUUGAAGCCUCGGUGGUUCGGGAGACUGAUAGUAGCCGGGUUGUGGACCCCGAAAAACGACCGAGAAAACGGGGUCGUAAACCGGCCAACGGGAGAGAAGAGCCCCUGAACCACGUUGAAGCAGAGAGGCAAAGAAGAGAGAAGCUUAACCAGAGAUUCUAUGCUCUCCGAGCGGUGGUACCAAACGUGUCGAAAAUGGACAAGGCAUCGCUUCUGGGCGAUGCCAUAUCGUAUAUCAACGAGCUGAAGGCGAAGCUGCAGACAACCGAGAGCGAUAAGGAGGACUUGCAGAAGCAAUUGGAGUCGAUGAACCAGGACUUGGGUUGUAAAGACUCGAGUUCUCUGUCAGACGACCUCAAAAUGUCUAAACACCAAGCUAGUAGUAAAUUAAUAGACUUGGAUAUUGAUGUGAAGAUAAUCGGAUGGGACGCCAUGAUUCGAAUUCAGUGUUGCAAGAAGAACCACCCUGCAGCCAGAUUAAUGGCUUCUCUCAAAGAGCUUGAUUUGGAUGUACACCAUGCCAGCAUUUCUGUAGUCAAUGAUUUGAUGAUACAACAAGCCACUGUCAAAAUGGGCAGCCGAAUUUACACUCAGGAUCAGCUCAGGUUAGCUCUUUUAUCGAAAAUCGGCGACUCCCGGUAAGAAAAAUGGGAACCAGAGGAGAGGAGAAACAGAGAGUUUGUUUUGGAUUUCAAUGGUGGUUCAGGGCUUUUGGGACAUUUUGAGGCUCCCGACAAAGCAGCGAGCUCUGUUAGAUACUGGUUCCACGCGUUUCUCAUGUCUUCUUGGGUAGCAUUUUGUUUUAGUAUAGAUUGAGUUUGAGGAGCUGAAACAAUUUUCUUAGGUCCAAAACUACAUGGCUUCCUCCCCUUCAGUGAAAAUAGCUAUAUUUUUUUGUUCUGUUUUUGGGUGUCAAUUUUCUGUCUUUCUUCUUUGUAUAUAUAAGUGUUAUAAAUUUGAACCCCAUGGGAGUUCUGGUUAGUGAUGUAGAAGUACGUAUUUCAGAAUGUAACAUUUGUAAUCUGUUAUAUCCACUACUGAAUUCAGCAUUCAAACAAGUUGAACUUUCUUCAACUUUUAAUCUUCCCCUGUUAUCGUUGGAUUUCCUCAAUUUUUCUAUGCACAAGUUUUCAUCAAUUUGCUUGGUUUUUUUUUGGGGUAAAGACCUGGGCUUGCAGAUUUCAGGUGCAUGAAUUUGUUUGUGGCAAGUGGUUUUAUUUUAGUGCCAUGAAUUCAGCAUAUACCAGAAGGGUGAAAUUCUAGCUAUUAUACAAACGAUAAUUUACUUUAAAUUAAUUUAAAUUACGAGGAAGCGGAUUCGAAAUAUAUCUGCAUGGCAAAAGCCUUUUUAUGUUCCUACAGGUUAUCUAAAAAAUGCCCCAAAAUCCAAAAGGGCACACUUCGUGAAAGCCCUGGGGUCUAUUUUUGUUGCUGAAAAUGCACCGACACUAAUGGAUAAAAAAAGGAUGCAGCACACUUCGCCAUAUUUAGUAAUUGCAGUUACCAUUCUGUAAAUGGAGCAAAUAUUAUGCAUCAUGGAAGCAAGCGGUAAACAUAAAGGAACACCAAAAGAAGUUGGUUUCUCACUUUUUCUGAUUGUUUCUCUUUUACCUUGGCAUCCACAUUUCUCCUAAUAUAACCAAUGCUUUUUGCCUCAAUGCGGGUUUAAAAAGGGCUUGAAGAACAGCUCAUACGUGGUAAAUUUCCAGAACAUUGAGUAUCUCAUGAUUUUUUUUUUCUCCCCCACCUUUAUAGUAUAGGCAUUUUGGUACAGCACAGUAGAUACAUGUGUUUUUCAUUUCUGGAGUAGGAGAAGCAAUGAAUCAGAAUUCAGAAGAGGAGGAGAGAGAGAGUAAAAAAAAGAGCCUCAAAUGUUUAUUUUUGUUGUUCAUGUUCUAUUCAGUUCUGUUGGGUUCUUCUGGUGUGGCCCAGAAAGUGACCCUUCAUGCCUUGCAUUGCAUGACUCGAAUAUAAAGGGAUUUACUACCUAAUCAGAGACCAUUUUUAAUAAAAAAAUUUGUUUAGAAAUUAAUUCUUUUUGCUCAACUUGUGGUGUGGGUGUCUAUAUCAAUCAAUCAGCCUAUUUUUAAUUUUAAAGAAAUAUCAGCUGGCUAAUUUUGGGGUUGGGUUAAUUAUUUUAUUAGUCCCUGAAUUUAGAUUCGAUUUACAUUUGAGUCCUUCAAUUUUCAAAAUCAUUCCCGUGGUCCUUUAACUUCACUUUCAUUAGGACAAAUGGUCAUGCAGUCAAUUUUGUUAACUUUUUCUGUUAAAUGCAGUGGCAAAAUGGUAUUUUUAUAUUAAAACCAAAAAAAUGAAUGAAAAAUCAUAUCUUGAAAAUAACAAUAUAAAAAAAUCAAAUAAAAAACCAAAAAAGAAAAAAAAAAGUUUGGGGGAGUAGAAAUCGGGAUUUUUUUUUGGGGGGGGGGGGGGGGGGGGGUUUCCGGGCGUUAUAUUAAUUUUAUUUUCCUCUUUUAAUCAAUUUAAUACAAAAAUACCAUUUUGCCCUUGCAUUUAACAGAAAAGUUAACAAAAUUGAUGGCAGGACCAUUUGUCCUAACGAAACUAAAGUUGAAAUACCACGGGAAUGAUUUUGGAAAUUGAGGGACUCAAAUGCAAAUUGGGUUUGAGCUCAGGGACUAAUAAAACUAUUAACCCUUUUGGGGUUUAAACCCCUUCAUAUGUCUUCUUUUAUUUAUGUUUAUAUUAAUCGGGAUAGGAGUUUGAACUUGCAAUCUCUUUCAAUAUUGUGAAAAGAAUACCACUAGAACAAGAUUUAGUUGUAGAUAGUGUGAAAAAAACCUUUACACUUAAUAAAAAAGCACAAAUAAACUAUAUAGAUUGUGAGACUAUGUGUAUUUUUUAAAAAGUGUGUGAUUAGGCGAAUCAAUUUUUCACGGUAGCAUAUGAGGAUUUAAGGCAAGAUGUGAAGAGGAUUUAAAAUCAAGGAUUAGAUUCACUAGGAACUUGUUAAGUGUAGAAACCUAUACUAUUAUUACUAUUUGUGUUUAAUUAGUUGUUUUGUUAAAGUUUAUUAGUAAUUUUUUUUAUUGCUUAUGUUAUUGUAGGGUUUUAUUCUCUUUAAGUUUCGGUUCAUAUUUUAAUCUGGAUUUGAAAAAAAAAAAAAGGUUUCUUCAUCACAUUUAGCAUGACAUUUUCAAACGAUGAAUAGGGAGACUAAACUUUACCAGACACAACUUUGCUUUGGUUCAAACUUCUGAUCACCCUCAUCUCUAUGUCCCGGAAAAUGGAUGAUUUCAUGGAAUUUCGUUCAAGCUAUGUGAAUGAACAGCCCGGUUUUGGUAGGAAAUGCUGUAUGAUUUAGUGAUCGGGAUAGUUGAGGCUUAGGUUCUUCUUAAGCUGAAAAUUUAGGCAUACGUUCCAAAGAGGAAGAAACUAAAAUGAAAGUUUCUGUCUAAUCAGUUUCAUAUGAAUACAUACCAAUAGUUUCUCGACUUUCAGAUCAGAAAUGUUGCUAUCUAGCUAUACCUAGGAAAUAACUCAACUCUAAAAUUAAAUUUAACUAAAACAUAUAUCUAUCUAUCUAACAACAUUCUAAGAUAACACAGAUAACAAUAUAUCAGGCGCUCGGAUCAGGUGAGAACAGCUAUGUGAGAACCUUAUAUGAAAAUCAAUCGCAGCCGUUGAAAUGCAUAUGAACGGUUUAGGAGAAAAAGCAAGCUUACGGUACAAACGGGUAAGCUGCAAUUUCUCCUUAGCCCAUGUGUCAAGUCGAGCCUGUUUCGGAAAAAAACUAGCCUUUGUUCUUCUUGACAGUUGUGCCUUUCUUCUCAAUGAAUUUAUGAAUGAACCCUAAUCAUAACAUCCAAAAUUUCACAUACCAGACAUAAAUUUGUAUAUUCCUUUUCUCUUGUCGCAGAAACUCCCUAGUCUACUCUUUUUCUUUCACUUUCUCUUCUGUUGUCGCAAAACCUCCCUAUUCUAGUCUUUCUCAUAUAAAUGUCUAAAUCGGUAUGUUUCUCUUGAAUUCCCUCUCUCUUUCAUAUUAAGAUUUGCAUGUUAUAUUGCAUUCACUUAAUGUUUAAAUUUUGUUUAGGAUUUUAGGGCUUUGAUUUUUUGGGUAAGAGUACUCUUUCUCCGUAGUAGUUGUGUUUGCAAAAAUAUAAAUUGGAAAUUGGCUUCAGUUGCUUUUUUGUGUUGUGUUUUCUAGUUUCUAUUAAUUUGUUGAAGCAUAGUAACUCUUUUUUUAAAGUUUUGCUGCAAUUUAAAUUCUUUCAUUUUUCCAAAAUUAGGGAUUUUUUUUGCAAUUCUUUGUAGUAAUUUGUUGAAGUGUAGAUUCACAGCUGUUGCUUCUUCCAUUUUUUUUUUUUUGGCAUUCUACAUGUUAGUUGUCUUUUCUUAAAAUUCCAGGAACCUUUAUCUGUUUGCUUUGACCCUUAUUGUAAUCCUACUUUGCCCAUCUAGUGGUGUGAGUGUAUGACAUCAUUUUAGUGAUUUAAUGGGGCUUGGAAAACAAAUAAUAAGUACCAUUAGAAGUAGAACACAGAAGAGAAAAUUGAAGAUCUUAAUUGUGAAUAUGAGAUGAUUUGGGAUGCAUAAGGAUCAAUGCAUCUUGUAGUAGGUAUCAAUUCUAUAUCUUAAUGUGUUGAAAAUAGUGUUGUUACGUAUCAGUUCUGUAUCUUAAUGUGUUGAAAUAGUGUGCAAGUGAAAAUUAUGUAUCAUUUUUGCAUCUUAAUGUUUGGAAAAUAGUUUAAUUAUGUAUCAAUUUUGUAUCUUAAUGUGUUGAAAAUAGUGUUUGUAGGUAUUAAUUAUGUAAAUGUGAUGAAAAUAUGUUGAGAAUAUUGUGACUAGGUAUCACGUC